AAGAAGUUGGAGGUGUGACCUUGAGGGUUUCGAGCAAAUCGUGGUAAGUGUCUAGGUUUGGUUCGUACACGAACAUGCCGGCAUUGAAGUAGAGAGACGGCUUUGGGCCGACAUGAUCAGGCCAUUGGACCUUGUCUGGGCACUGUUGGCAAUACCCAAUUUCGUACUGAGGGGUGUGACUCCAUGUCUUCUCGCAAAAGCAGUCCAUGACCGCGUAGAAGAAGCCGUUCGGGAGGUCGAAGAGGUGGUCUAUGUUGUCGAAGACUUGGAUGUCCCCAUCCAAGUAGAUCAUCUUAUCGUACUCCACAAACUGCAAUUCAAGAACCCAGAUCAAUAACUCAAUAUUAAUAGUACUUCUCAAUCCUAACUUUCAAAGAAAACAAAAAUCUAAGUUGUAAAGAAAUAAAUAAUAACAAAGCAUACCUCCCAAAUCCGGAGCUUGGAGUAGUUGAUGCCGUAAUAGGCCAUGGCAAACUGGGUCUGGUUUUCCGGCGGAUAGACGGGCUCGAUCUCCCUCACGAUGCAACCUUGAUCCUCCAGGAUCUUCCGAUGAUCUGCCGGCACGUCUGGCAAGAUUGCCACGACUAGCGGAUACUUGCUCUUCGCCUUCCUCAGCCCCUUGGCCAGCCCAACCACGCCCUUCACGUAAUGGCCGUUUCCGGCCAAAAACGUCACGUACGCACAGGUGGGCUGGUUCUCGGGCUUCGGCUUCACGAGGCCAUUAGCGGCAGCAUCAGCGGCGAGGAUGGGAGCCAUUUCUCUAGUAGGAAAGGUUUGAGGUUUUUGUGAGUGGAAUGAAGAAUGAGUGUUUGGGAAGGUCUUGCAAUUUGCUUGGCUGAGUUUGAGUGGAUGCACUUGGCAAGAGGAGGAUGCACGGUUUAUAUAAAGUUGGAGAAAUAAUUUUUAAUUAAGGUGACUAAAUCUUGGAGAUAUUGCGGUGAUUGGGACGUGGCAUGGAACUUGCUCGAAUCGAGGAGUUUCAUACCGACAGACCAAAGAUUUUGUCUGUCCAAUGGGGGUAAAGCUAGGCCAUCUCCCCUUAAACGAAGUCGUCUCGGAGCUCCACCAAUGGAUCGAAUUCCACGUGAACAGUGCGAGUCGAUGGGACGGUCGUCGAGCAAGGUCCGGGUCUGGUGGACGGUGCUAGAACGUGCGAAGAGUCAUGUUGUCGAAUUUUUAGGGUGACCAACAAGUCAAGCUCUUGGCAGAUUUACUUCUAUCGCCCUAGCAAGCAACUUCAAAUUCACAUUUAAGAUUAUAGGGUGCCGUGGUAGGGGGCGGUUUCCGAGGAUAAUGUUACACCCUUGCCCAAAAGUGGAAGUAAACAAGUGGACAGUGGGAUCUAAUAGGAAAGUGCUUUAACUCUUUUGACUGACGGAUACAAUAGUAGUAGGAUAAGCUUAGCCAAAUACCCAAAAAGAAUAAAGUUGUGCCCACAAAGAAAAAUGGUAGAAAAUAGAGUAUAUUAAUUACAUAAGUAAAUGUGUUUUUACUGUGUUGACUUUCCAAUCCUAUUGAGUUUUGAUGGUAUGAAUCAAAAUUCGAAGAGAAAUCAAUUGGCUAAAAGCAAUCCCUUUGAUGGCUAGGAGAGCCGAGGGUAUGGAAUAAUAUACUUGCCAUAUAUUUUGUCUUUGUUUCCCUUGCUUCUUACCAUAGGCUAUCUUGCAUUGAUAUCUUUUAUCUAGAGACAAGGAAGUUUUCUUACCAUAGGCUAUCUUGCAUUGAUAUCUUUUAUCUAGAGACAAGGAAGCGAAAACCUAACUAUUGUGGAAUACUCUAUAAACCUGAAGAACCAAUUAAAUGUGGACCUUUAGCCUAAGCAAAUGAUCCAAACCAAAGUAGUUUGGUGCAAUUGGCAGGAUCUAAAAGAACGACCCUGAUUUCCAAGCUAAACAUGACGCGGCACCUCAACUACUUAUGUUGACCUCAAGGGUUUUUUGAAAAUCAACAUUAGCCUUUCAUCAAUAAAUUUUACAAAAGUUUGUGUUAUACAGUAACUUUAUAAUAUUAAAGGAGGAUCAAAUUGUGUUCCAAGGGAAGCUAUAGCUCUGUUAGAUGAAUCGCGAUUCUUUAAAUAUACUCGAUAAUUAAUCAAAAUCAUCAAUUUUUUGUAGGUUAACCAAAUCAUUUUUACUUUGCUAAAAAGAUCCUAAGUUUAUUGUCCUAAACGUAUAUUUAGUAUUCAAGCGCAGAACCAGGCACUCUUUAAUUUUGAUUGUAUAUGAUACAAAUAAAAUACUCGAGCAUAUACACUCGCUAUACUCGACACAUUUUCACUUGUUCCCGCUCCCACGGCGUUUGAGAUAUUUUGUCUUGGAAUCGAUGAGGAGCUCGACGGACCAGACGCUGCGGCUCCACGCGGAGAGCUACACGUGAGCAGCACUGGAUCCCUGCGCUCUUGAGGAAGGAAGCUUCCCUCGAUUUCGUACAAGUUUCAGUAAAACCCGCCGUUUUAACAACCGCCGCACCGUCCAGCGCCCAGAAAAUUCCACGCUUUAUUUAUUUAUUUGUUUGUUUAUUUAUUUUCUCUUUUUCCUUCGUAUGCAUGAAUCAUAAGAAACCUGUCGGAAGCUGCAUGGGGGUAACGUUGCUUGGGACAGACACGUGCCAAGCCCCCACACGACUGUCAGACUUUCUGGGAUUGUCGUGGGUCCCUCUUUUCGGGUAAGAUUAAGAAAUGGUACCAGACUACCAGUAGGUAUUGCUGAGUCAUAUAGUCUAAGUUUACGGGGUUAGUAAUACGGAACUUUUUUACUGAAUUUCUGAAAACUCGUACCCAAUCAAAUAUGAGAGCAAAGUGAUUGAAUGUGAAGGUGAGAGAAAAUACAAAGGGAGUCAUGAAAGUAAAUAGAAUCUAAAGUGUAAACUCAUUUAUAACUCAUUUGACAUUUUUAUUAUGUCUAUAACCAUUUUAAUAUAAUUGAUUUAUUUAUAACUCAUUUAACACUGAUAUUGAUUAAAAAAAUGAGUUUAUAAUAUAUUUUGACAAGUCCAACUACAUGCUUCAUCUCAUUAGUCGAGCCCAACCUUUCCAAUUUUGUGGCAUGAAAUGAAACUCCUAGAUUCAAUAAAUCUUUGACCACCAAUAUGGUUGAAGGUUAAUGUAAUGAUCGGAAAACCACCCAAAAAAAAAAAGUAAUGCUAUGACAAAGGAAAUUCUUAAAUUUUUACUAGGGGAAUUUCACUCACCAUGGACUAAUAGUAAUAUCGAGAUAAACAUAAAGCAAAUUGUGUCAAAUAAAUUUGUUAAUAUGCUUGAUGAGCACGUAUUAAAUGACUAUAUAUGGAAAAAUUAUCAUUUUUAAUGCUUGGCUGUUAUAUUGAAAUGCAUAGUUAAUUUAUUGAAAAUUAAUGCUUUCUUUGUAUACAUGCUUAGCAAUUUUUGAGAGGGUACUUAUAAAUAAAACUCUAUUUUUAAAUUAAAAGCUCAACGGUAUUUUCUUAGAAUCGCCUUUUAUCUCAAGUCUUUUUUUUACUGUAAAUCACAAUUAAAAAGAUGCACUUAAUUAAAAAAAAUUACAUUGAUUACAUUAUAGUAUUAGUAUAUCAUUACAUUACGUUUGCGGCGGUAAUGAGGUGUUAUAUUAGAAUUUUCUCCACGGUCGGGGCCUCCACCACCACUAUCCAUUUGCGUGUCCCUUGGUUGGGCCACAACUCCGGUCCACGUGUGGACUCUUGAUUCAAAUGGCGGUGCAAAGGACACGUGGCGAAUAGGGGUUGCAUCCUUGGAGUCCUUUUUUUGCCACUUUUUCAAGUUAUGUUAGUUGUCUGACCAGGCAAAAAAAAAAGGUUAAGUUAGCUGUUCCGACGAAAAAAGAAGUUACGUUAGUUGAUCCGAGGGAGGGCGCAUCUUUUACUUAUCCAAAGAAAUUUGCAUACUGUUGACACCUAAUUUAGAUUCAAUUUUUAGAAAAUAAAAGAUUAGAGGGAAAUUUUGAAAAGAAAUUUUGAAUUCAAAAUAAUUCAACAGCCGGAUUUUGGAGCCAUUUCUUUGUUGGAGAAGUUGAGCAAAAAUCUCCACCGGCGAGAGGUUGAGCAAAAAUCUCCACCGGCGAAACAAACUCGAAUUUUCGCUUUAUAAAUAGAGGGGUUCUUCUUCACCUUUCGGGGGGAGCGGGGGCUACUUUUCGUCAAAAAUUGAAAAGUGAAAAGAGAGAAAAACUGAAGAGAAAGAGACAAAAACUUCCGGUUGUUUUUUUUUUUGCUGAAAAGAAGAAGUGUGCAGAGAGAGACAGAGGGAGGAAACAUGAAAGUGACGUGAGAGAGAGGUGAGAGAGAGCGUCAGGUGAGAGAAAAAGUAAAAAAAGGAAGAAGAGAAAGCAAAAGAUGGACCACUGUUCAUCUUCCUCGGUGUGAGCUUCCAUUCGGUGUCCCUGCUGUCCAUUUCCUCCGCGUUGCCGAGACUGCAGCUGUCGCUCCCCAGCCCUCACAUUGUCACCGGACCGACAGCUCCUUCUUGCCGGUCACCGUCCAUGAAGCUCGCGAAGCUGAUGUCCUUCACCGCCGUCUACUGAAGCUGCAUCCCUGCUGCCCGCGGCUGCCACACACUGAAGCUACGUCCCUAGUGCCCAACGCCAUCGUCGCUGCUUGAAACCUCUCCCCUGACGCCUGCUACAACGACGCCGCUGCAACAACUGUUCAGUCUCCUCCCGUGACGCCAGCCUGCAGCGCCCAGACCUCCCCCGCUGCUCUGCCCCGACGCCACGCCACCUUUGCUCGACCCGGUGCCCGACGAUUCCCCCUUGCCGUCGCUGAGCACCACCAGAACCCGCGCCGGCCAUCGCGACCUGCUGCUGCCCAGCGCGACGCCGGAGCUCCGAAGCCCGCCGCUCCUGCUCCGAGUUCCACUGCUGACCUGCGACGUCGGAACCGAGCUGCCACACACCCGUGAGACGCCACCUCUGCUGGACCAUCACCGUACCUCCGGGAGCUCUCCACUGGUGCUCUGCCUCAACCCGAAUCAGUCCCAGUAGCCCGACGUCCCUGCACCCGACGCUGCUGCUCCUCUGCUUGCUGCUGCACGCCCGAACAGAGUCAUCUGCUGCCUCCUCUGUUUUGCUGCAGGUCUGGUUACUGCCGAACCUCGCCGGAGCUCCAACGGACAGCCCUUGUUCCGAACGGCAACCCAUCACAGUUCAGCCAUUACUGCUUCCUUGCCAUUUCUUCAAGUCUACCGUGAGUUAGACUAGGUAAAUUUUUAGGUAUAUGGUUUCAUAGUUUUUAUUUGUUUACUUUUUAUAUAUUCUAACUUGAUUUGUUUUGAUUUAUUUUUAUCGUUAGGAAAUUUUUCAUAUUAAGUUAUGAUAAUAAAAAAUAUUGACCCGCGAGACGUCGGGUUAGAUUUUUGAUUAUUUCGACUUUUUAUGGCAAAAUUCAUGAAUUACUUUGCACCAUUAAUUCAUAUUAAAAUGCCAUUGAUUUAUAUGGAUGGAUUUUUAUUUUGGCAUGUUAUUAUUAUUUGCUCAUCACAUAUCAUGCAUCAUAUUAUGUACUUAGGUCCAUGCACAUUUCAUAUUAAAGCAACAUACUUAGAUAUUUUUAGAUUAAGUCAAUUUUCAUUUAAUAGAACAAAAAGAUGAACAAAAAAAAUGUUAUGCAUGCCAUAUGAGUUAUAGUUUUUUUUUUAAUAAAAAGAAAAUGCUAAAAGAUGAUCAUUGCACCNNNNNNNNNNNNNNNNNNNNNNNNNNNNNNNNNNNNNNNNNNNNNNNNNNNNNNNNNNNNNNNNNNNNNNNNNNNNNNNNNNNNNNNNNNNNNNNNNNNNGGUUAAUUCAUAAUUAAUCUCAUAUCAUCAUUAUUUAGCAUAGGUUGCAUAUAUGCAUUAAAAAUGAAUCAUCAUUAAAAUAAAAAUAAAAAAAAAGAGCAUGCAUGUAGAAAUACCAUGUCAUUUAUCCCAUAUCAUGUAGCACAUGCAUAUUUAGGAUUAUAAAAAUUAGAUUGCAUACAUAUAGUGAUAAGUUUCAGUCAUACCAUAUGAAUUGCAUCUCGCAUGUCAUUAAAAUAAAUUCGUGCAUAUUAAGUUUAAAUUAAGAUUGCAUAUAAUUAACAUUUAAAAAAGAAAAAGAAAAAUUAGGUGUCAUGUCAUUUAGAAAAUUAUGUUUAGGGCAUGCAUUUUUAUUAGCAUUUUUUUUAUUGAAUGUUAUUUUAUUGAUUGUGCACUCGCAUGACCACCAUUUGCAUGUUAGUAGCUUAAGUUUAAAUUAAUCAACAUUGCCUGCAAAAUAUUUUUAAAAUAAAAGGUACCGAAAGGGCGUUAGACUAAUCUAGCGUAACCAUGUCCCCGGACCUACUGAAUCUCUGGUUCGCAAAAGUAAAGUAUUCUCCCAUACUUUACUUGGGUUUCUAACCAACCCUAAUUGGUUAGUGGCGGCUCCAAAUUGAAUAUAAUUGCAUGUUUAAAUAUAUUAAUUUCAAGUCGCUAUUGGUAGGACCUGGGAGGGUCCGCGCCAAGUCUUAGGACUUAGUAAUCCAUUAACCUAAACUUUAGGAUUGCCCCUGAAAAAUUUAGGUCGCGACAGCUUGGCGACUCCACUGGGGACAGAGUUAAAACUCAUAGUGGACAUAGGCCUGUUUCAUUUUUUAAAAAUAUUUUGUUUGGCAGCAUGGAAACAAGGUACGCUCCUAACAUGAAGUGUUAAAUGUUCUUGCAGAUGGGAGGUAUAAGGGGAGUAGUCUUUGCUAACCCUUGUUUUGCAGGUUGGAGUUAAGGAUGAAAGGUUGAAUUCAAAUUAUAGAAGUGUUGUUUGCAAUUAAACUGUUGUGCAUGUUUUAUUGUUUUUAGCACUACACUAUUGCACACACAACCUGCUGCCGGACCUGGGCUGCGAUAGGAUUUUUAGGAUGGUGUUGAGAAGGAUACUCCCUCUAAAGCAAGACUGCUAUAUAGAGGUUGACCUUCUCUUCCCCGAAAGUUCUUCAUGGUGUCGAAUGUGUUUGUCCAUAUCCGCGAGACUGUGUGAUAUUAGACAUUCCAUUCGACUGAGCCGGGGUUAGGAGGACCUGACACGUUAAUGCGAGACUGCAACGGUCAGAUCAUCCUCUUAGCUCCAUUUUGUUAAGCCAUCUAGACAGAAAUCGAGCCCCACAUUUUAUGCGUGUGUCUAUGUGAUUGUCAUCCAUUCUCAAUGAAAGUAAGUUGUUUAAAUUCUCAUUACUGCAAUUUACUUACUUGCAAUUUCGUUGGUCCAUGACAUUAGGUUUCGCCGUCGGUCUUAUUUUAUAUGCAAUGGGGAGAUCCGAUGUUCAAUUCAUUCCAACUCCCAAGAUUGAGCUCAAAGGGUGGUGGAACAAUUUAAGUAAAGAAGGUCAAGAUUAUGUGGAGUCAAUACUGGGACGGCUCAUCCCCCUUUUGGAUAUCGGAGUCCAUAGUGGUGUUUUGCAAGCUAUAUCGCACUUUUGGUGUCCCGAGACGGCUACAUUUAUUUUUGGUAAGAAUGAGUUAACUCCAACACUGGAAGAGUAUAGCGUCAUCAUAGGAAUGCCCCUUGAGACUGAACUUGUUAGGCCAUCUCUUGGUAUGGAACCCACAUCAAUUUUAUCUCAAUUUUUAAGAAUUAAAACUGAUGAGGUUAAGAAAGUUUUGAAAGCUAAUUGUAAUGCAUGCCCUUUCUCCUUUUUGACUAAUCAUUUUUUUAAUCAGUCUUCAAUGCGCCAAAAGGGUAGGAUAUUCAUCUUAGCAUUCUUUGGACUUAUAAUAUUUCCUCAUCGAAGAAAUGCUAUUAAUCCUUCGAUUGCAUGGGUGGUCAGACAAGCAUGUGCUGGCAUGAAUUUUAUAAACAUGAUCUUAGCUGAGACAUUUUUAUCCCUCAACCAUUUUAAACAAAAUGGAGAAAAAGUCAUGAAUGCCUCUCCUGAGCUUUUACAGAUUUGGUUUCUUUCUCACAUGAAGGAGUUUGGUCAUUUCAUGCGUCGAGGUGAAAUUAAUGAUUCUAGUUACCCAAUAAAGAGAUUUUCAAUCUUAGAAAAAAAGUAUACCGAAAAAUCAUUUUCCGAUUGGGUGACUUUUCUUAAAAAUCCAGAUCUCAAGGGCUUCCUAUGGUAUGCUAAAUGGUUCCAUGUUAGCGUGGCUCGCUUCUCUCACAAGACAGAUAAUCCAAUUCCACUUAUGGGAAUUACUAGUGCAACAUCUUACUAUCCUUAUAGAGUGGCCCGCCAGUAUCGAGUGCUCCAAGAUAUCCCACCCCCUCUCCGAGUGGAUCUGUUCCAAGCCCGCUUCGUGCACAAGGAUCACAACUACCUCGAUGAGAUCGAGCAUCUUGAAAAUGCAUGGAAGGAAUGCCAUCUGGAAAAGAUAGUGGUACCUAGAAGAUUGAAAGGAAAAGAGAGGGUUUUUCAUGCCUCGGAUUAUUAUAUCCACCAUCACGAGAUCUCUCAAGCUCUACUUCCCGUGAUACCUAAAGUGACCAUGAAGCCCACUCGUAAAGCACAAAUUGAAAAUCUUGAAGAAGCGGUGGAAAGGAAAGAAGCUCGCAUUUCUGAGUUGGUUCGACAGAACAAGAAGCUUUGAAAGACUGUGAUCUCCCAAUUGUAUAUAGAAAAGAGUCACUAGAUUUAGGAGUUUAUUUCUAGCUUUAUGAUCUUAUUUCAAUUUCUUAGAUUGAUGUUUUAGGAAUUUAAUUUCCUAGGGAGUUAUGUUAGCAUUUUAAGUUAAUGUCUUUGGAAUUUGAUUUCACUUAAUAAAAUAAGCGAUUGACCGUUGUCAUGGACCAAUCUCAUUUGUUAUGAUACUUACUGUAUUAUUUUACAUUGACAGGUGACAACACGGCUAACCUAAGAUCACCAAUCCGUACUCGUUCCAAAGCAACAAUGGCUGAUAACACCGAACAAACACGUGUUGCUGAACAAACUCGCAUCGCUGCCCUCGAAUCGGAGAUGAAGCAAGUCCUAAAUGUUCUUGAGCAGCUCUCCAAGCAAAUUGAUUCUCUCCAGGCAAACACUGCCCCACCAGCUCCGCAAGUUGAAGUGGUGUUACCACAAUAUGCUCCUGCGACUGAUCCGAAAGAUAAAGGCAAGAAUACGUUCGCAAUUGGGACAUCAACCUCUAAUGAUGCUUCCAAGGAGAAAAUUACUGACAUGCCUCAAAUUGUUGUUGAUGAGGAGGUACAAGUGAUACCCUCGGCUGUACCGAAGACGGAACAAGAAAAACGCAUGGCAAAAAUCGAGGAGAAACUCAAGCAGCUGCAGGGUUCAUUUAUCCAAGGCCCAACUGAUUUGUCCCACUAUGCAAAGAUCAAGAUGCCAAAGAAGUUCAAAAUGCCAGACUUUGAAAAGUAUGAUGGCACCUCUUGCCCGAAGAUCCAUCUGCAGACUUAUGUGGUCAGGAUGACCCAAUAUGUUGAUAACAUCCCCUUGAUGAUUCAACAAUUUCAAGCAAGCCUAACAGGACCGGCGUUGCAAUGGUACAUCAUGAAGAAGAUUAAUCUGCUAGAGACUUGGGAGGAUUUGACGGAUGCUUUCUUCAAGCAAUAUAAGUAUAAUAUUGAUGUCACUCCAUCUCGAGAAGACUUACUUCGCACUGAGAAGAAGAGGACGGAAUCUUUCGAGGCAUAUGUCACGAGAUGGAGGACUGUAGCCGCUCAGAUAACUCCAGAGCCAACAGAAAAGGAGCUGAUGGAUUUGUUCAUGAAGACACUCCCGCCUGAGUAUCGAAAUCGAAUGUUGGGAUCGACUGCCGAGUCAUUCAAUCAGCUAAUCCCUAUUGGUGAGCGAAUUGAAGUAGCAUUGCGUGAUGGAUGGGCGUCUGAUCAAACCAGCUCAUAUGGAAGAGUCUCAAUCAAGAAGGAUAAGGAACUUGUAGCGGAGGUUAAUGCAGCUUAUGUGCAACCACCUCGCCCUACCCCGAACACCUAUCAGGGAGGAGCACGACCAUUCUUUGGGCAGCAGAAGAACUCUUCCAGGCGUCAAGUUACAGCCUCUUCCUAAGCCAUUGUCCAAGAUCUUGCCAACCCUUCAGAAGAAAGGAUUACUCGCUAAAGAGCCUAAGCGACCUAAUCCCGAGCGAUUCCCCAACUAUGAUCCGUCCAAGACAUGUGCUUAUCAUAUGGGGGAGGUAGGGCAUUCUGUUGACGAUUGCUAUACGCUGCAACACAAAGUCCAAAAUCUUUUGGAUGCCAAGGUGGUCUCAUUCCACGAUGCACAUCCGAACAUCCAGAAUAACCCACUCCCUGACCACCCAGAAGCUGUGAAUACCAUUUUCGGUUUUGAUGCUGAGCCCACCAUGUUUCAGAUGAUGCAUGAGGAAGCAGAAGUGAUGGAUACCCAUUCGGCUCCUCCCAGCUCCUAUUUCGACCCACGAGAUAUCAUCCCAGAUGGAUGGGGUGGCAUAGAUGAUCCCGCACCUCCAAAGAUUGAGAGCUUUGAUGACGCAUUCGAAGGAAUGACUGAAUUGUUUGCCAUCGAUAAAGCUCGAGAGUAGGAAAAUUUUAAUUAUUUGCACACUCCUCUACGCAGGAGUCUUUAUUGCUUUCCAUAUUUGCUUAUUUGCAUUUUCAAUUCUAGGAUUUCCCUCAUUUCAGUAAUGUAAUUUGUUUUUCAUCCAAUAAAAUACAUGGAGAUUUUCGUGUUUUAAGGGCAUGUUGAAGUAUACCAAACUAGCCCUGUGAUGAAAUCCUACCCAAAAGAAAAUGGCAAGGAGCUAAUUCUGAAGGCUGGGCUUCUUCAUGUUCCCUUGAAAAAAAAUAAAAAAUAAAAUAAAAUCAUCUUCCAGCAUACAUCUAAUUUACCAUGUUUGUUUCAUUUAAUUAUUUGCUUUAUGUUUCAGGUGCAGCUCUGCGCACAUUUAAGGAAUCUCUAUGAGCUCCUUUGUAAAGAGGGGCAAGACAUAGACACUUAACAGCUUUGACUUUAUGAUUUGAUAGAGCAUGGCCUUUUUGUCAUUAUAGAAUGCUUCCACAUGAUAUUGUACAAUUUGUCAAUUCCACUUGAAAUUUAUCAAAAUGGAUAAUUCAGUGAAAGAUGUCGAAUUACUUGAACAUGCUAAAUGAGGUGUGAAAGGCAAGCUUUAUCCCAUACACAGUCCCUUGUUUAUACAUUGUGAGGUGAGUAUGAAAACGUCUUGUACUUCAAGGUGAAGAGUUUUCUUGCGAAAAGUACGACAACUAAAAUGACGAGGGGCAGUUCAUUUCUCUAUCAAUGAACCCUUGUUUAACCCCUCUUUGAGCCCAAAUACUUGAAGAAUUUCUUUCAUACUAGCCCUGUCAAGAACCACCCCACAUCGGGGCAAAUGGAGGUAAGUUGACAUUGAAGGAGAAGGAAAAUGAGUUGAAAUUUUCUUGCUUUCACUUGCAUCAAUCUUCAAGUUGUGCUAUUACAUUGAAUUCAUGUGAUAAUUUAAGUGCCUUAGGAUGACGAAGAGCAGUUCUUUCUUUAUCCUACACACUUAUAUCCUUUGCAUAGCCCACUUGAGCCUAUGAAUUCAUUUCAUGUCAAACCCAGUUGGUGAUCAUCCCCCACACUAGGGCAAGAUGAAAGACAAUCAUUCGAAUAGCAUGGUCUAAAACGCUGAUGAAAGAAAAUUGUGUGAGUCCAGAGAAAAUAAAUGCAAAAAAAUAAGGGGCAAGAAAAAGCAGUGUGCCUGGUAAAAGCAAGGCCAAUGCCCGUGAAAAGAAGAGAGAAAUGACUGAUGAAUUGGGGGGCAUGAAAAAAGAGCAGUGUGCCUGAUCGAUGCCUAUCAUCAAAGAAAAUGAUUUUAAAAGAAAAAAAAAUGUUGAGAAAAGAUCUCCAGUUGAAUAGUCAUUGGCAUCGAUGAUGAACUCUUAAGCCAAUAAAGAAAUUUGUCAAGAAGACAAUCCGUGGCGAAGAAAAUUGGUGGUAAUGUCAAGAUGAUCACCAACUCUUACCCAUUACACACAUCUUUGAGCCUAACGAUCCUUUCGUUUCUCAAACCCAAGAACCAAGCCUAUGUUACGUCCCUUACAAAGUCUCUUCAGAUUAUGGCACUUGAAUUAACAUAGGAAUCCAUAUGUUUUAAGCAUUGCUCGAAGAAGUGCGAGCAAGAUUAUUUCUUUCUCAUUUUGCAGGGUUCUUGACUUGUAAACCCGGAGAUGAUUACAAAAUUGUUCUUUCAAUAGCCGUGACUCAAAGAGUCCCUUUUGCUAAGCCAUUAACCAAACCCACUUUACAAUCCUUGUCAAAGACCUCUCAGAUUGGUAAGGUCGUACUGAUUGCAAGAAAAUUUGAACUCUUGUCGACAAGAUGAUGAUAAGAUUGAGUGAUAUAUUCCCGCAUCAAUGGUCGGGACAAAUAACCCCUCCUAAAUGAGAGCGAGUGAAAAAGCAAUUUCACACCAAAAGUGUCUCAUUUAGCAUGUUCAAGAGAUUCACAUUAUAACUGAAAAUUGUCCUUGUGAUAAUUUUUCCAGUAGAAGCUUGAUAAAGCCAUCAUUGAAUUUUUCCUCAAAGACUAAAAAAUUGGCUUUGAAACCCUGAGUUUGUUCGGUCAUCUUGGUGCUUGAUGAGAAUUUCAAGUACCCAUUUAUAAAAUAUUUUCAAAUGUCUAGUGUGAACUUCAGAUAUUUGAACCCUUAAAUGCUUGAUGUGACUUCCAAGUGUUUGUUUUUCCAAACGUCUGAUGUGAUUUCCAGAUGUUUUGAAUUUUUAAGUACUUGAUGCAAUUUCCAGGUGCUUGGGAUUUGAUGAGAGUCCCAAAUCACCCAAAGAUUUUUUUUCAGAUUCAGUUUGAUUUAGGCGACCGUAGAAUGGUACGGGUCCUGAAAAAUCAAUUCUCCGUCAAGGCGACCGUAGAGUGGUACGGGUCCUCGACAACACCUAUUCCCUAUUUUAGGCGACCGUAGAAUGGUACGGGUCCUAGAAAGUGAAUCCCGUUUAGGCGACCGUAGAAUGGUACGGGUCCUGGAAGGUAAAUCCCCGUUUAGGCGACCGUAGAAUGGUACGAGUCCUAGACACAACCAAACACUGUCACACUGGGCGACCGUAGAAUGGUACGGGUCCUGGGAAAACAGUUUCUUUGUAAAGUUAUGUUACUAUUUUAGGCGACCGUAGAAUGGUACGGGUCCUGGACAUGUAACACCGACUGCCUAGAACUACUCUAUCCUUCUUGAAGGUAGGUUAUUCCAGGUGCUUGGGAUCUAAUGAGAGUUCCAGAUCUCUAAAGACUUUAAGCCUUUCAAUUAUCUGAAAAGAUUUCCAGAUGUUUGUCAGGUCUCGUAGUAAUCAUUUCACACCUGAUAAUACUUUUUUGAAUCUCCAGAUAAGUAUGACAGGUACGUGUUCUUCUUUGCAUUUGCAUUUCAUUGAGCAUAGACACAUUGAGAUCUACGUUCUUGACCAAAUCAUUGCAUUUACAUUGCAUUAUUGCAUGACCUUGCAUUUCAAAAAGAAUUAAAUUUAUUUGAAAAAGAGGUCAUUAACAUUUGCAUAUGCAUUCCAUAUUCAUUUUGCAUUCAUUUUGCAUUUUGCAUUUCAUUGAGCAUAGACACAUUGAAAUAUAUGUUCUUGACCAAAUCAUUGCAUUUACAUGGCAUUCUUUAUUGCAUGACAUCGCAUUUAUUUGAGUCCAUUUCUUUCAAAAAAAAAGAAAAAAAAAGGGGUCAUUACAAUUAGCAUUUGCAUAUUCAUUUUGCAUGGUUUAAAUUUAGGUGUCAUUUAUCUUUGAAGGAAACCUCUACGAGCUUCCCUUCAAAGAGGGGCAGCUGUUGACACCUAAUUUAGAUUCAAUUUUUAGAAAAUAAAAGAUUAGAGGGAAAUUUUGAAAAGAAAUUUUGAAUUCAAAAUAAUUCAACAGCCGGAUUUUGGAGCCAUUUCUUUGUUGGAGAAGUUGAGCGAAAAUCUCCACCGGCGAGAGGUUGAGCAAAAAUCUCCACCGGCGAAACAAACUCGAAUUUUCGCUUUAUAAAUAGAGGGGUUCUUCUUCACCUUUCGGGGGGAGCGGGGGCUACUCUUCGUCAAAAAUGAAAAGUGAAAAGAGAGAAAAACUGAAGAGAAAGAGAGAAAAGCUUCCGGUUGUUUUUUUUUUGCUGAAAAGAAGAAGUGUGCAGAGAGAGACAGAGGGAGGAAACAUGAAAGUGACGUGAGGGAGAGGUGAGAGAGAGCGUCAGGUGAGAGAAAAAGUAAAAAAAGGAAGAAGAGAAAGCAAAAGAUGGACCACUGUUCAUCUUCCUCGGUGUGAGCUUCCAUUCGGUGUCCCUGCUGUCCAUUUCCUCCGCGUUGCCGAGACUGCAGCUGUCGCUCCCCAGCCCUCACAUUGUCACCGGACCGACAGCUCCUUCUUGCCGGUCACCGUCCAUGAAGCUCGCGAAGCUGAUGUCCUUCACCGCCGUCUACUGAAGCUGCAUCCCUGCUGCCCGCGGCCGCCACACACUGAAGCUACGUCCCUAGUGCCCAACGCCAUCGUCGCUGCUUGAAACCUCUCCCCCGACGCCUGCUACAACGACGCCGCUGCAGCAACUGUUCAGUCUCCUCCCGUGACGCCAGCCUGCAGCGCCCAGACCUCCCGCGCUGCUCUGCCCCGACGCCGCGUCACCUUUGCUCGACUCGGUGCCCGACGAUUCCCCCUUACCGUCGCUGAGCACCACCAGAACCCGCNNNNNNNNNNNNNNNNNNNNNNNNNNNNNNNNNNNNNNNNNNNNNNNNNNNNNNNNNNNNNNNNNNNNNNNNNNNNNNNNNNNNNNNNNNNNNNNNNNNNNNNNNNNNNNNNNNNNNNNNNNNNNNNNNNNNNNNNNNNNNNNNNNNNNNNNNNNNNNNNNNNNNNNNNNNNNNNNNNNNNNNNNNNNNNNNNNNNAAUAGCCCGACGUCCCUGCACCCGACGCUGCUGCUCCUCUGCUUGCUGCUGCACGCCCGAACAGAGUCAUCUGCUGCCUCCUCUGUUUUGCUGCAGGUCUGGUUACUGCCGAACCUCGCCGGAGCUCCAACGGACAGCCCUUGUUCCGAACGGCAACCCAUCGUAGUUCAGCCAUUACUGCUUCCUUGCCAUUUCUUCAAGUCUACCGUGAGUUAGACUAGGUAAAUUUUUAGGUCUAUGGUUUCAUAGUUUUUAUUUGUUUACUUUUUAUAUAUUCUAACUUGAUUUGUUUUGAUUUAUUUUUAUCGUUAGGAAAUUUGUCAUAUUAAGUUAUGAUAAUCAAAAAUAUUGACCCGCGAGACGUCGGGUUAGAUUUUUGAUUAUUUCGACUUUUUAUGGCAAAAUUCAUGAAUUACUUUGCACCAUUAAUUCAUAUUAAAAUGCCAUUGAUUUAUAUGGAUGGAUUUUUAUUUUGGCAUGUUAUUAUUAUUUGCUCAUCACAUAUCAUGCAUCAUAUUAUGUACUUAGGUCCAUGCACAUUUCAUAUUAAAGCAACAUACUUAGAUAUUUUUAGAUUAAGUCAAUUUUCAUUUAAUAGAACAAAAAGAUGAACAAAAAAAAUGUUAUGCAUGCCAUAUGAGUUAUAGUUUUUUUUUUAAUAAAAAGAAAAUGCUAAAAGAUGAUCAUUGCACCAUUAAGUUGUUUUCUUUUUAAUAAAAAAACAUUAUGUCAUUAAAAAAUAAAAAAUAAAAGAUCAUUUCCUUGGUUAGUUAAUAGGUUAAUUCAUAAUUAAUCUCAUAUCAUCAUUAUUUAGCAUAGGUUGCAUAUAUGCAUUAAAAAUGAAUCAUCAUUAAAAUAAAAAAAUAAAAAAAGAGCAUGCAUGUAGAAAUACCAUGUCAUUUAUCCCAUAUCAUGUAGCACAUGCAUAUUUAGGAUUAUAAAAAUUAGAUUGCAUACAUAUAGUGAUAAGUUUCAGUCAUACCAUAUGAAUUGCAUCUCGCAUGUCAUUAAAAUAAAUUCGUGCAUAUUAAGUUUAAAUUAAGAUUGCAUAUAAUUAACAUUUAAAAAAGAAAAAGAAAAAUUAGGUGUCAUGUCAUUUAGAAAAUUAUGUUUAGGGCAUGCAUUUUUAUUAGCAUUUUUUUUAUUGAAUGUUAUUUUAUUGAUUGUGCACUCGCAUGACCACCAUUUGCAUGUUAGUAGCUUAAGUUUAAAUUAAUCAACAUUGCCUGCAAAAUAUUUUUAAAAUAAAAGGUACCGAAAGGGCGUUAGACUAAUCUAGCGUAACCAUGUCCCCGGACCUACUGAAUCUCUGGUUCGCAAAAGUAAAGUAUUCUCCCAUACUUUACUUGGGUUUCUAACCAACCCUAAUUGGUUAGUGGCGGCUCCAAAUUGAAUAUAAUUGCAUGUUUAAAUAUAUUAAUUUCAAGUCGCGAUUGGUAGGACCUGGGAGGGUCCGCGCCAAGUCUUAGGACUUAGUAAUCCAUUAACCUAAACUUUAGGAUUGCCCCUGAAAAAUUUAGGUCGCGACACAUACUAAUGGCAGCUAAAAACUAAUAAAUAAAUGACUAAUUAUCUUCUUUGAGAACUUGUUAACAUGAGAAUGAGAGUUUUGCAAUUUUUAAAGGUGACAACCUUUGAUUAUCAUAAAAGAAAAUGAUAUAUUUAUUAGUUUAAUGCCGUAAAAUGAAUAUAUUGUUAUCAUCCUAAAGAGCCUAUGAUUCUGUUUCUCUUUUGAAGAAUAGUAUCCCCUCAUAUUAAGAUCUAGUAAUCUUAGACAUAAAAUUUUGAUUAUGAGAUUUGAUUUUUAAAUGAGGAGAGAUCAUAAAUGAUAUUUAAAUGAAUGGGUCACAUAUCAAAAUAUGAAUUAAAGAGUACACGUUACUUUACAAAUUAGUCUUCGAGUAACAUUACUUUAAAGAUCUAGAGUAAUUUUCACAUUUUGAUAUCUCCACAUUACAUGAAAGAAAGGGAGAAUUGAACCAUCCCAUGUUAAAGCAUAUUAUAUUUUUAGUCAAAGAUAAGUUCGUCAUUAUAGAAGUGGAGUACUGUCAUGUUUGAGUAGGCGAAAGGGAACACACAACGAGUUUCUAUAAUUUGGUCAUCGUAGUCUUAAACUUGUUCAUCCAUUUUGAAUUUUUAAAGCAUGCUUUGUAGGCCUUUGGUAAAAUAGUCUUAUUGAAUGAAUUAUUGCAUAAUGGCAAUGGCGUGACAUGGACUGAUAUCCAAUAAAAUGAUGGCGCGACAUGGAUUGAUAUUCAGCGUACUUUUUGAUCGAGCAACUGAAGCCUUAAAUCAAUCCAUAAUCCUCAAAUCCCCAAAUCAGUCCCCUUCGAGCCAUAUUUUCCCUACUCUUGUCUUUGCAGCAAAAUUUAAAGCCAAGACAAAGGUGAUCUCAACAUUCUACAAACAAAGAGUGAUUAUGUUAGGUUUACAAAGAAUUAGUCAAAGGUAUAACUUCGAUUACAAUCCUCUCAAGUGUAUGUUGUCUUUUCAUAACCUAUUUUUAUUGUUUGUGUUGGUUUCUUCCCAUGUGAUGUGUCGAUGGUCUCUCCGCGGAAAAAAAAAAAACCAUAUAACUCAUUAAUAUAAAAGUCAAGAAAAAUGAUAAAUCAGCAUUCAUAUGCACUCUUAACUAUGAAAAAUUUAUCCACCGCUCAAUGUCAUUUCCAGAAUCGGUUUUUUUUUAUUAUUUAAUAUUUUAUAUAUGACUAUAAAUCCCAAUUGAAUGGAGCCACUUAAUCCAAUUGGUAAUGCUACAACUAUGUAGUAUUUGAGAUGUUACUUUAGAAUUUUCUCCAACCGUCGGGUCGGGGCCCCACCACAGGUAUCCAUUUGCGCGUCUUUCGCUCGGAAAAUAACGCCAAUCCAGUCCAAGUGUCAACCCACGAUUUAAAGGACGGUGCACAGGACACGUGGCGAAAAGGCUCGCGUUCUUGGAGUCUCUUUUUUCCCACUAUUCCAGUCGUGUUAGUUAAUCCGAGGGCGGGUCCAUGUUACUUUACUUGGUCAAAGAAAUUUAACCCACUAAUGGCAGCUAAAACCGAUGGAUUAGUGACUAACUUGUCUUCUUCGAGAACUUGUUGACCCAAGAAACUAGGCUUUUGAAGUUUUUAAAGACGAUGAUCUUUGAAUAUAACAAAAAAAGAUACUGUUUUUACAACUUUCAACCAAAAAUUCAGAAUUGAUUUCUUGGCAUAUAAAGUAACUAUUGAGCUAUCGUUUAAAAGAGCCUAAGGCAGACAAAUAACUCUAUUGUAUCUUUAAAAAAUUGAUUUUGAAAUAAUAGGACAUAUUGUAGAUGAUAUAUCAACGCAUUAGUGAUAUAUAAAGACAUGAAUUAAAUAAAUACAUGUUACAUUACAAAAUGAGUUUUACUAAUAAGUUAAUAUCUUUUCAAAGAUGGAGUAAUUUUUACUUUUUGAUAUCUUCAAAUUACAUGAAAAUAGAGGGAUGUUUAAACAUCUUGUGGUACAGCAAAUUAGACUUUUUGUCAAAGAUAAGUUUGUCAUUUUAGAGGAGACAGAGUUUUAUUAUAUAUUCAAAUAAGAUGAAACCGUGCACACGAAAAUUUUCUAUAAUUUGGUCAUCGCUAGAGUGCAAGUGCACCUCAUAUCUUUUUCAUCGAUUCUCCUCCAGUCCCCCCUUUUCUUUAGUGAAUUUUUAUUUAGUCUUUUUCGAUAUAUUUUUUAUAAUUACUUUAUAUCAACUCUUUGGCGUUUACCCUUACCGUAGACCUUUUCAUGGUGCCUUUCCUUCCCUCUACCAAAAUCAGAUUAUAAAAAAUUUUAUGCUAUUUGUUUUGGUAGUUCUCCAUUAUAUUCAUAUAAUAGUCUAAGAGAAGGUAUCCAUCGAGAUUAAAGAAAAGAUUCUACGACUAUAGUUAUACAACAAAAAUUACAUCUAUUAAUUUAAUAUGCCAUUUAACAUAUGUUUGUACACAUCACUUGACAAAAGAAAACAAAAAAAAAAAAAAACAGUUAAGAGAAAUAUUUAUCUCGAAUCCCUAAAUCAAGGAAAUGAAAGGGAAAAUAAAAUCCUUCCCUUUCAAGGAAAAUAAAAUAGAGCUACCAAUUCCAAUUGUAGCUGACUCUAUCAUUGCUUUACACACUUACAAAAGAAAAAGCCCUAAUUACACACAACUAGGCUGCCGUUGGGGCGGUUAUGAAGCGAAAAGCUCCGGCCUCUGCCAACGCCGCAAGGAAGCGAUCCCAUUUCGUUUGCUUCACCACUUCAUCUCUUGCAACGAUAUUCUUGUAAUCCAAUGACUCAUCAUCGUAGAUAUCCCACCACUUCUUCACCAGCAUCUUGAUAUCGUCCCGAUCCAUGUGAUGUUCCUCGCCUGUGUACCGCCACGGCUUCGACCCCGCGGCACAAUAAUGGACAACCUUCACUUUGUCGAGCUCAACGUUCUUAGGAUGACGCCACAACAUCGCAAGCACAAGCUUGUAUACGUUGGGAAUUGGUUUGUAGAUAUCCUUGAAGUACACGUUCAAGAAGUCUUGUUCAGCAAACGGAGUUGGUGGUGCGAUCUUAAGGGUGUCGAGCAAAUCAUGCCGCCCACAGCCUACUGACCGUCGACAGUCGGCCACGGUAGAUGACAGUGGUCGGCAAUGACGGUCAGUGGUUGGCUGUUGAGCGGUUGUCGUGCGUCAAUUGGGCGGCUGUUGUGCGGCUAUCGUGCGGUUGUCGUGCAACUAUGGUGCGGCUGUCAUGCAGUAAUCGGUGGCGGUUGUUGGUUGAUGGGGGUGGUUGGUGGGCUGUGGGCGACAACGAUUAUGGUCGCUGACGAUUGUGAUCCAGGAUGCGACGGGGUCGCAUUUCCUCAACUUGGUUGCCUUCGAGCAGUGUCCCUCUAAUUGCAACAACUAGGGGUGUGCAACGGGAACCGCCCGAACCGGGAACCGGCCGGACCGGACCGAACCGGUCGGUUUUGGGCGGUUCCCACGGUCGGCGGUCCGGUCCCCGGUUCCUAAUCUUGGAACCGGUGGCCGGUCGGUCCGGUUCCCAGUUUCAAGGUGGGAACCGGACCGAACCAGACCGACCGAACCGAACCAAACUUUUUUAUAUAUAAUUUAUAUACAUAGAAUUAAUAAAACAUAUAAACAUGAUAACUUAUUGCAACCAAAAUUGCAAUUUGAGGUAGCAACCUCUUAUGUGGCCAAGAGACCAUUAAAAUCAUUUUUAUUACUCUUUUAUUUAUAGAAAAAAUCUCGUUGAUAGUUUCGACGUGGGACUAAGACUUCAAGAGUUCCCGUGAAUCACACAAGUGAAGUUUGAAUAUUUUGAGAAUCGAAUUGAAUUGAUCAGUCAAGAGCACGGUCACUCUUUAGUUCUUUAGUGCAAAAAAGUAUAAUUGAUUUUUUUGGACCGGACCGGACGGGACUGGAACCGAUGGAACCGAUGGUCCGGUCCGGUUCCCGGUCCUAGGACCAAACGGUCCGGUCCGGUUCCCGGUCCUAGGACCAAACGGUCCGGUCCACGGUUCGCAAUUUUAGGAACCGGUGCUCCCGGUCCGAUUCCUGGUUCCAAGGUGGAACCGGACCGAACCGGGAACCGAUCACCCCUAGCAACAACAAUGUCACCUUGUACUUGUUCUUCAUGGACAACUUGAUUAACUCCGCUAAGGACGUGGGGCACCUCCACGAUUGUGGGAUCAUGGAGCACUGGCUCAGGAGUAACGCCGAGGUCGCUGACCUCUUCAACCAGCUUUGCAAGAGGUGGUAUUAGUUGACGGCCACAAUUAUCUCUAUGGACUGUCUAAGGAUGUGAACACUUACUCCGGAAACAAGUGGAAUGGUUGGAUAGCCAUUAUCAAGCUUAAGUACUUCAGUAAUCCAUGGUCAAUCAUUUCCUUAACUACUGCUUUCAUUUUGCUUGGGCUCACUUUGGCACAGACCUUGUUUGGAAUCUUUGGCUACUACAGGCUAGGUUCUUGAUUUCUCGUAGAGUGGAGAUUAUCUGAUAAACGUUUUACGAGUGAUGAAUCUCCGGUGAAAAUCUAGAAUUAGGAUUGUGGCUAAUAGACUAUUAGGAUGCGUUUGGUAAUUUUUCUAUUCCUAUUAGAAUAUGUUUGGUGUACGAAUCAUAAAUUUUUUGUGCCAUAGAAUUUCUUUUAAUAUUCUUAUACUUUGUUAUAUUUUUGUUUUUUUCUUUUCUUUUUCUCCUCCUCUAGCUAGCAGCAGCAACUAGUGAUUGAAAUUUCACCAUGCAGGCCCUUAGCAGCCAAUUUGUAGAUGAAUCUGUGAGAUGUGUUGGUCUCACAUCUAUGGAAAAGAUGUGAUUGGUCAAUCUCAAACUACAUGAUGUGUAUUUGUUAUGUAAUUUCGAGUUCAAUGUGGUAAUAUACUUUCUGAAACCCAUCUUAGUCUUUUUAUGUCAAAUUAUGACUUUCCAUUGAUAAAUCUUUCAACAUUUUUGUAAUUUUAUUAAGUGUUUAAAUUACGUGAUGGAUGUAACACUUUCGGAUAAAAUUGAGCUAAAGUCUUAAAGCAUUCUUUUAAGAGAUGAUAAAAAAUGGGCUCUGAAAAAAAUGAAAAAGAGCAACUCAUCCAGAUUAGGAAAAGUAAAGUUUGUCUUUCUACUACGCCAAAACAACAUCUAAGGGCCUGCAUGGCAACAUUUCUGUUUUUCCCAAUUUCUGUUCUUUUGUUUCUUGAAACCAAAAAAGAACAUAAAUCCGUUUGGCAACACCAAUUUAUUUUUCUAUUUCCCAGAAUAUAAAAGUAGCCAGGGAAUAGAUUUGAAACAGAAAUAAGAAAUCGAAAAAAAAAAAAGUAACUUCUUGUUCCCAAGAACAAUUUCUAGAAAUAAAUCCAUUUUUUCUUUUCCACUUUUCUUUUGUUCUUCUUCCUUACUAUAGCCACCGCUGGCUCCCCUGCCAAUCGCCGACCACCUCCGACUACCCACAGCCAUCGUUGGCCGACCGCUGCUACCUAACCACCGAUGACCAUCGUCAUUGCCGCCGCUCGAUCAUCAUCAGCCGACCAUCAGCCGCCGUUGCUUGACUGUCAGCAAUUGUUAUCGUCGUCGCCACCCAAUUGUUGUCACUGCAGCCCUUCACUGCUAGCAACCAUCAUUGCCGCCGCCCACAGCCCACCAACCACCCUUGCUAGCCAACAACCGCCACCGAUUGUCGCCCGACCGCCGCACGACAACCACCUGAACGUCGCACGACAGUCACUCGAUCGCCACACGACAGCCGCCCGAUCGCCGCACGACAACCGCCCAACCGCCGCACGACAACCACCCGACCGCCGCACAACAGCCGCUCGACCGCCGCACGAUAGCCACUCAACCGUUGCAUGACAGCCGCUUGACAGCCAACCGCCAACCGUCGUUGCGAUCGCCGCCCACAACCCACCGACGACUGUCCUCUCCUGCGAUUGACUGCCGACAGUCAGUGGGCUGUGGGCGAUGAUCGUUAGCUAGCAGCAGCAAGCGGCGGUCAUGCGGCAGCCAGUGGUCGGCGGCAACUGGCAAUCUAUGAGUAAGAAGAAAAAAAUGAAUAAAUACAAAAAUUUAUAAAUCAUACAAAACGCAUUUCUAUUCUUUUUCUAUUUCAAGAAUAGAAAUUUUAUAUUGUUACCAAACACAUUAUUUUACUCAGAAAUUAUUCCCUGGAGUAGAAAUAAAAAAGAACUAUUUCUGAAAAGAAACUGUUCCUCAGAGUAGAAGUGUUGUCAUGCGCACCCUAACACACCUACUCCCCAGAAGAAAAAACGAAAAUAAUUUUUUUACACCAAAAAGGACACUAUAGAAUAGGCUGAGAAAAAACUAGAAGCGAUUUAAAAAGAUGCCAUUGGUGGAAGAAAUAUAUUUGCAAACUUAGUAGAAAGAAGAGACAUGAGGAUUUUACCCUGGUUGGAGACUCAUGAGUCCUCCUCCUCUCGGCAUUUUGACCGAUGCGAUGGUGAGACCCACGGGAGGGAAACACAGAUAAAUAAGUUCAAGACAAGAAAAAAAUCAACCUCAUAUGGAUCCAUAAUUAAACCUGAGCAGGUCUUUAAAUUGCUUCACCCUAAACAGGCCAUCCCAGGGUGCCUUCCCCCCACAAGCCAUUUAUAGGCAAAUGAGGGGGAGGAACGCGGGAUAAAGGCCCCAUUGGGCUCUCUGGCCACAACGCUUCUAGCGCUGGGAUCCCGCCUGGAGGGAGGUCACUGCCUUCUCCUAGCAUACUAGGCUGGUAAACCCCUAAUGAAAGGUCCCGGGAAGUGGCAAAACGGAAAUAAUAUAUUUACACCAGAAAGGACAUUAUAGAAUAGGCUGAGAAAAAACUAGAAGCGAUUUAAAAAGAUGCCAUUGGUGGAAGAAAUAUAUUUGCAAACUUAGUAGAAAGAAGAGACAUGAGGAUUUUACCCUAGUUGGAGACUCGUGAGUCCUCCUCCUCUCGGCAUUUUGACUGAUGCGAUGGUGAGACCCACGGGAGGGAAACACAGAUAAAUAAGUUCAAGACAAGAAAAAAAUCAACCUCAUAUGGAUCCAUAAACAGCAGACAAAGAGUUAAUAGGGCCAGUCGAAGAAUCUAAAGAAUUUCAUCCGUAAAAUGUUCGCUUAUGUGGGAGAGGCCAAGCUUUCUCGUGUUGUUGCACUUAGAAUCAGAAGCAACAAACCAGUGAGUUUCUCCCCCAAAUUAAAAACCCGGAAAAUAAAAUCUAACCUGACUUGUGGUCGUAGAUUUAGGGCUUCUCGAGAGACUGCUUUGAGCAGAGCAGAAAACAAGUUGUCAACGGAAGAUUAAACGAGAGGGUAGAGCAAUUGCUUCUCGGUUGUGAGUUAGGGGGGAUGGAGAGAGGCGAGCGAAAUCGGCCAUCGGGAGAGAGCACAAUUUUGAGAAGAAUGAGGUCGCGAGAGUGCGCCAAGAGAAUGCAACCCGAAGGAUGGGGCCAUCGAGUGGAGAGAGAAAGGCCGUCAUUGGGAGGGAGUGACGGUCGUCGGAGGAAGCGCUAGACUGGAAGGUCCAAUGCGUUAGGGUAGACUGUAAAGAGAGCGUCGAGCGUUUGAGGAGAUGGAAGAGAGAGCAAGUAAAGAGGAGAGAGAACGCUCUACCCUCUGCCCGCGCUGGUUUGAACUGGGAUGACAUGGACCUACUCGGACAGCUGUGAGCUGCUGAAUGGUUCAAAGUAAAAAUAAUGUGGAGUUGUUAAGGUAUUUAAUAUUUUCUCCUUUUAUUUAAGUCACGACACUGGUUCACCUGUCAACUCUUGAUUUAAAAGACGGUGCAAAGGAUAAGUGGUGAAUAGGGGUUGCAUCCUCAUAGUACAUUUUUCCUACCUUUUCAAGUUAUGUUAGUUGUCUGAAAAAAAAAAGUUAUGUUAUUUAUUCCGACCAAAAAGAAAAGUCAUGUUAGUUGAUCAGAGGGAGGGUGCAUCUUUUACAUCUAAAAAAAUUUGCACACUAAUGGGAGCUAAAAACUAAUAAAUUAGUGACUAAUUGUCUUCUUUGAGAACUUGUUAAUCUAAGAAAUGAGAGUUUUGAAAUUUUUAAAGAUGAUGACCUUUGAAUAUCAUAAAAGAAAAUAAUAUAUGCAUUGCUUUCAAUCAAAAUCCAUUAUUGGUUUAAUGCUGUAACAUGAAUAUAUAGUUAUCAUCCUGGAGGAACCUAUGAUUCUAUUUUAAUCUUUUGAAAAAGAGUACCCCUUCCAUUAAGAUUUAGUCAUCUUAGACAUAAAAGUUUGAUCAAUGAAGAGAGAGAUCAUAAAUGAUAUUUAAACGAAAGGGUCAUCUAUUGAAAUAUGAAUUAAAGAUUACAUGUUAUUUUAUAAAUCAAAUUUACAAAUCAUUCUUCGAGCUAACAUUACUUUAAAGAUCUAGAGAGUUUCGCAUUUUGAUAUCUCCACAUAACAUGAAAGAAAGGAAGGAUUGAAUAUCUCAUGUUAAAGCAAAUUAUAUUUUUAGUCAAAGAUAAGUUCAUCAAUAUAAAAGUGGCGUAUUGUCCUAAUCGAGUAGGCAAAAGAAACACACAAUAAGUUUCUAUUAUUUGGUCAUCGCUAUCUAAAACUUAUUAAUAUAUUUUGAAUUUUUCAUGCAUGCUCUGUAAGUCUUUGAUGAAGUAGCUUUACUAAAUCAAUCAUCGCGUAAGGGCGAUGGCGUGAUAUGGACUGGUAUCCAACAAAAUGAUGGUUCAACAUGGACUAAUAUUCAGCACACUUCUUGAUCGAGCAACUGAAGCCCUAAUUCAGCCCAUUAUCCUCAAAUCCCCAUAUUUGUCCCUCCCAUUCGAGCCAUAUUUCCCCCAAGAAACCCCAACUGCGGUCUUCACGGAAAAAUUUAAGGCCAAGAUGAAGAUGAGCUCGAGAUUCUACGGAUAAAGAGUGGUUGUAUUAGGUUUAUAGAGAAUCAGUCAAAGAUAUAGCUUUGAUUGUGAUCAUCUCCAUAACCUAUUUGUACUGUUGCAUUAGUUUAUUCACCUUGUGAUGCAUUGGUGGUCCUCCUCAAUGAAAAAAUGUCCUCUCAAUGAAAAAAAAGAAAUUAUAUCGCCUUUUUAUAAAAACUAGAUAAAUGAUAAAUCGCUAUUGACUUAUACUUCUAAUUGCGGAAAUUUUUUUGGUUGCCCAAUACUUGCCAUGUUAUAAAAUGACAUGUUGAGUUAAUGUCAUUUCCGAAAUUGAUUUUUAUUUUAAUUCUUUUAUGUGUGACUAUAAAUUCCAACUAAAAACAGGAAGUUGAUCAGAUGUGCGAUCCUCCAACUAGAAUUUUCUCCAGCGGUUGGGUCGGGGCCCCACCACCGGUAUCAUGUUGCGCCUUUCGCUUGGAUAAUAACACCUGUCCAGUCCAAGUGUCAACUCCCGAUUUAAAGGACGGUGCAAAGGACACGUGGCGAAAAGGGUUGCGUCCUUGGAGUCGCUCUUUUUUCCCACUAUUCUAGUCAUGUUAGUUAAUCCCAGGGCGGUACAUGUUUUUUUUUUUUUUAUCAGUCCUACUCUAUGACUACUCUACACUUAUUCUCAAACUUUUGUCCUGCCUCUUGCAAGGUGUGAGAGUCGAAAGCCACUCCUGAAACUUACUCGUUCCCACCCCAUCCCCUCUUGAGAAUGUGGGGAUUUGAACCCCUCACCUCUCAUUUCCAUGUUGGAAGGGUGGUCACUGGGGCGAAUCCUAGUGACUUAGGGCAGGUCCAUGUUACUUGGUCAAAAAAAUUUACCCACUAAUGGCAGCUAAAACCAAUAGACUAGUGACUAAUUGUAUUCUUCGAGAACUUGUCGAUCCAAGAAACGAGACUUUUGAAGUUUUUAAAGAUGUUGAUCUUUAAAUAUAAGAAUUUCUAUAAUUUGAUCGUUGCAAGAGUGCAAAUCUACCUCUGUGUCUUAUCACCAACUUUCUGCCUUCUUUAGUGAUUUUUCGUUUAGUCUUUUCUCGAAUUCUUUCUUUCUUUCUUUCUUUUUUGUAUAAUUACUUUCUAUCAACUGUUUAGCCAUGGACUUUACUCUUUAUCCUCGACCUUUUCAUAGUGCCUUUCCUUCACUCUACCAAAAUCAGACAAUAGGAGAUUUGAUGCUAUUUGUUAUCGUGGUCCUCCAUUGUAUUCAUAUAAUAGUCUAAGAAAAGAUAUCCAUUGAGAUUAAAGAAAAACUCUACAAAUAUAUGCAUAUAUGUAUAUACAUAUACAUAUUUAGAACGAAAAUAACACGUAUUAAUUUGAAAUUUCGUUUAUAUAUAUUUGUACAUAUUACUCAACAAAAGAAAACAAAAAGAAAAAUAAUUAAGAGAAAAAUUUAUCUUCAACCCCCAAAUCAAGGAGAUGAAAGGGAAAAUAAAACCCUUCCCUUUCAAAAAAAAAGAGAGCUGCCAAUUGCAAUCGUAGCUGACUCUUUAAUUGCUCUACACACUUAAAAAAAGAAAGCCCUAAUUACACGCGACUAGGCCGCGGACGGGGCGGUAACGAAGCGGAAAGCUCCGGCCUCAGCCAACGCCGCAAGGAAUCGAUCCCAUUUUGUUUGCUUCGCCGCUGCAUCUCUUGCGACAAUAUUCUUGUAGUCCAGGGACUCAUCAUCAUAAAUAUCCCACCAAUUUUUCACUAGCAUCUUGAUAUCGUCUCGAUCCAUGUGCUGUUCCUCGCCUGUGUACCGCCACGGCUUCGACCCAGCGGCACAAUAAUGAACAACCUUCACCUUGUCCAGCUCGACGUUUUCGGGGUGACGCCACAACAUCGCAAGCACAAGGUUGUACACGUUAGGAAUUGGUUUGUAAAUGUCCUUGAAGUACAUGUUCAAGAAGUCUUGUUCGGCAAAUGGAGUUGGUGGUGUGAUCUUGAGGGUUUCGAGCAUAUCGUGGUAAGUGUAGAGGUUUGGCUCGUACACGAACAUGCCGGCGUUGAAGUAGAGAGAAGGCUUCGGGCCAACGUGGUCAGGCCAUUGGACCUUGUCCGGGCAUUGUUGGCAGUACCCGAUUUCGUAUUGAGGGGUGUGGCUCCAUGUCUUUUCGCAAAAGCAGUCCAUGACCGCAUAGAAGAAGCUGUUCGGGAGGUCGAAGAGGUGGUCUAUGUUGUCGAAGACUUGGAUGUCUCCAUCCAAAUAGAUCAUCUUAUCGUACUCCACAAACUGCAAUUCAAGAAACCAGAUCAAUAACUCAAUUUCCUGGCUAAUAGUACUUCUCAAUCCUAACUUUCAAAGGAGACAAAGAUCUAAGAUACAAAGAAAUAUUUAAUAACAAAGCAUACCUCCCAAAUUCGGAGCUUGGAGUAGUUGAUCACAUAAUAAGCCAUGGCAAACUGAGUUUGGUUCUCCGGCGGAUACACAGGCUCGAUCUCCCUCACGAUACAACCCUGGUCCACCAGGAUCUUCCGGUGAUCCACCGGCACAUCUGGCAAGAUCGCCACCACGAGCGGGUACUUGCUCUCCGCCUUCCUCAGUCCCUUGGCCAGGCCAACCACACCCUUCACGUAAUCGCCGUUUCCGGCCAAAAACGUCACAUAGGCACAGCUAGGCUGGUUCUCGGACUUCGGCUUCACGACACCAUUAUCGGCAGCAUCCGCGACGGCCAUGGUAGGAGCCAUUUCUACGGUAGGAGAGGUUUGCGAUUUCGGUGAGUGGAAUGUGAGUGUGUGGGUUUGAGAAGCUUUUGCAAUUGCUUGGCUAAGUUUGAGUUGAUGGGUUUAGCGAGAUGGGGUGCGGGGUUUAUAUAGAGUUGGAGACCUGAAUUUUUAAUCAAGAUGACUAAAUCCUGGAGAUAAUGCGGUGAUUGAUAGGGAGUUUCAUACCGACAGACCAAAGAUUUUGUCUGUCCAAUGGGGGUAGAGCUAGGCCACUUCUUCUUAAACAAAGUCUGUUUUGGAGCUCCACCGAUGGAUCGAAUUCCACGUGGGCCAGUGCGAGUCGAUCGGACGGUCGUCAAACGAGAUCCGGGUUUCGUGGAUGGUGCUCGAACAUGCGAGAGAGAGAGAGAGUUAAUGUUGUCGAAUCUUUAGGGAGACCAACAAGUCAAGCUUUUCACAGAUUUACUACUGUAACCCUAGCGACCGACUUCAUAAUUACAAGACCACCGUAGGGUGUUAUUGUAAAUCUGAGAAUAUUCCAAGGGUGAUUACAUCUCAAAAAUUCAUUUAAGCUUGUGGAGUGCCGUGAAAGGAGGCGGUUUCCGAGGAUAAUGUUACGCCCUUGCCCAAAAUUGGGAGUCAACAAGUCUAUAGUCCCCUCUCGUGAGAAAGUGCCAACACUCUUUUUGACUCACCGGUGCAAUAGUAGCAGGAUAAGCUUAGCCAAAUAACCAAAAAGAAAAUAGUUGUACCCACAAAAAAGGGCAAAAAAAUGAGUACAUUGAUUAAAUAAGUAUAUGCAUCCUUACCGUUUGGAUUCAUCAAUCCUAUUGAGUGUUAGUGUUGAUCAUAGUUAUCUUGAUUAUAUAUUAUAUGUUUCUCUCCCUUUUUUAUUCUAGGGGCACACAAGCGAAAAAAAUGACCACUUAUAACAUAUUUGGCAACCAUUAUGUUUCCAGAAACAAUUUAUGUUCAAAAAUAGUUUAUGUUCUUUAUAUUGGCUUUUAAACAUUUAAAGGCGUUUAGUAACUGAUCAAAAUUUUUAUUCUCAAGAUAGAAAUACACGCGACUCUCAAAUUCUCUUAUGACUUAGAAAUUCUUCUUCUUUCUCCUUUAGCCAAUCGCCGAGUCAGCCAAACAAGAGCCGGCGACCUCGUUGGCCCGAGUGUCACUUAGCCACUAGCUAGGCUUGACCAAUGAGGAUUGGCGAAGCUCCAACAAGGCCCUCAACCCUCGUCUGGAUUGCCAAAGUCGGCGAUCGGCGAAAGGAAGAAGACAAAGAAAAGGAAAAGAAGAGAGAGAGAGAGAGAGAGAGAGAGAGAGAAAGAAGAAGAAGAAGAAAAAGAAAGUAGUCUUGAUUCUGAAGUUGUUCUCAGAAUUAAAGAAGCAAUUUUUUUUAACUUAUUGAUUAUGUUCCAAAUUCAUUCUUAGGAACAAAAAAGUUACAAAAUGAAUUUCUAUUCUUCUUUUUUUGUUCUGAAAAAUAAAAUAAUAGAAUUAGACAUUAUUUGGCCAAUUAUCCAACAAGCCCUUGCAUAGCUACGGGGAUACCCUACAAACUCGACGAACUAGUGAACUUCAAACCAUUGGCCUAUAGAAGUGAUUUGAACCAAAGUAGCGUGAACGCAGUCAAUAAGAUCCGAAAGAAUGAUCCCUAAUUUUUUGAGCUGAAAUUGUUGCAACACCUCGACUAGUUAUGCCAACCUUGAGGGUUUUUGGAAAAUCAUUUUAACAUUAGCUUUUCACCGGUAAAUAUCUUCCAAGGAGAUGAAUCACAAUUGUUUAAAUAAAUCCUAUAAUUUUUCGAAUCAAAUCAUCUAUUUUUGGUAGGCUAAUUAAAUCAUUUUUACUUUGCUAAAAGAUGUAAAGUUUAGUUUCCUAAACAUAUUCAUUGCAUCUACACACAAAUCUUGACGUCCAUUAAUUUGAUUGCAUUUUAUACAAAUAAAAUACUCGAGUGUAUACACUCGCCAUACAAACUAUGCUCAAUCCAUUUUUGCUUGUUCUAAUUUGAUUGCAUUUUAAACAAAAUAUAUAUAUAUAUAUAUAUACUCGAGUGUAUACACUCGCUAGACAGCCUAUACUUGAUCCCUUUCCGCUUGUUCUUUUUUUAAUUUUCGAAUUUCCGCUUGUCCUCGCUCCAUGGCAUUUUAGAUAUUUCCCAUGGCGUCGAUGAGGAUCUCAACGGACCAGAUGGUGCGACUCCACGUGGGUGAGCAACAGGUUGAGCAGCACUGGAUCCUGCGCUGUGGAGAGGGAAGCUUCCUCUCAAUUUCGUACAAGUUUUGGUUAAAAAGGUAGAAUUUAUAGUAUAAAUCGACUGGUAAAUGCCCCUGUUUAUUAUUUAACUAACACCACACCGCCCAGCGCCGCGGAUAUUCCGCACUUUAUUUAUUUAUUUAUUUAUUUAUAUUUGGUCGAAACACAUUAUUUAUCUUCUUUUUUUCCUUUUUCCUUUGUAUGCAUGAAUCGUAAGAAACCUGUCGGAAGCUGCAUGGGGCUACGUUGCUGCAGGCUGACACGUGGCGAGCCCUUACACGUCUGUCAGGCUCUGCGGAAUUGAAAUUGUGUACGGCGGGCCGCUCCUGCUCUUGUGGAGGUACUUAUUGAAGUGUCAUCUAAACAUUCCACGUGUCUACUCGUCGUUGGACUGAAGGGACACGUGGCGGAAAAGGGCAUAUUCUUGGGAGGUUUUCUUUUUCCAAUUCCUGUUAUGUUAGUUGGACCAAGAAGACGGUGGGGGGCCUAUUUUAUAAUCAAUUUAGACUUUCGGAUUGCCGUGGGUCCCUCUUUUCCCAUAAGAUUAAGAAGGAGAAUGAGCAGGGACUGCUGAGUUAUAUAGGCUAACUUUACCGAGUUAGCAAUAUGGAAAUUUUUUACCCGAUGUUCCAAAACUCAUGCCUAACUAGGUAAGACUGCAUAGUAAGCAAAUGUGAAGGUGAGAGAGAACAAAAUGGGAGUUAUAGAGGCAAAUUAUGUCUAAAUAUGAACUUAUUUAUAAUCAAUUUAACACUUAUAUUGUGUUUAAACCCAUUUAUAACACAUUUACUAAAUAUAACUAACCUUAAUUCAUUUAACACUCACAUGGGUUAAGGAAUGUUUUUAUGAUCUAUUUUGACGGAUCUAAGAUGGCUUUCGUCUCAUUAGUCAAACCAAAUCUUUUCAAUUUGGCGGCAUGAAACGGACUCCUAAACUCAACAAGUCUUUAUUGCUCUCAUUGGAGAUUGUUGUUACCCUUUGACCACCAAUAUAGAUGAAGGUUAAUGUAAUAAUCAGAAAACCACCCACAAAAUAAAAGUAAUGCUAUGAUUAGGAAUAUUGUUAAAUUUUUUGCCAGAGGAAUUUCACUGGCCAUGGACUUAUAGUAAUCUCAAGAUAAACAUAAAGCAAAUUUUUGUCCAAUAAAUUAGUUAAAACGAGUGCUUCAUGAGCACAUAUUAAACAACUACUUAUGGAAAAAUUAUCAUUUUCAUUGCAUCGGCUAUUGUACUGAAAUUCGUAAUUAGUUUAUUGAAAAAUAAUAUUUUUUGUACACAUGCUUAGCAAUGUUCAAGGAUACUCAUUAAUGAGACUUUAUAUUCAAAUUGAAAGCUCGAGAAGUUCUCAUAAAAUUGCCUUUUAUAUUAAGUCUUUUUCUUAUUGUAAUCACAAUUAAAAAGAUUACAUUGAUUACGCUAUAAUAUUAGUGUAUUAUUACAUCAUGUUUGCAGCCGUAUAUGGGGUGUUAUAUUAAAUUUUUCUCUGGAUCUAAAUAUGUCGUUAAACUACAUAAUCUAAUCUCUCGAACAUAAAAUUUCUCUUUAGUGGGGAAGAAAAAGUUACAAAGGAGUUAAGGUGGCCAUGGGGAAGAAGAUAGACUCCCUAUCAAAAGUGGUUACCGUCAAGUAGAUAAGUAUGUGCCCAAAAAAAAAAAAAAGUAGAUAAAUAUAAUAACCUCCUCUACUUGAAAUGAGAUGACAUAACUCAAAAGGGCUUCAGUUAGGUCGACCUAUAUUUCGUAUAAUAUCUUUUAACCAACUGGUCACCCCUUGGUUUAACCAACAGUUGAUGCCCCACCACCAGUAUCGAUUUGCCUGUCCUUUGCUUGGGUCACAACAUUUGUCCACGUGUCAACUCCUGAUUCAAAGGCCGGUGCAAAGGACACAUGGCAAAAUGGGGCUGCAUCCUUAGAGUCCCUUUUUUUCCACUUUUUCCAGUUAUUUUAGUUGAUCCGAGGGAGGGCGCAUCUUUUACUUAUCUAAAGAAAUUUGCACAAGAAUGGCAGCUAAAAACCAAUAAAUUAGUGACUAAUUAUCUUCUUUGAGAACCUAUUAACUCGAGAUAUAAGAGUUUUGAAAUUUUUAAAGAUGAUUUUUGAAUAUCAUAAAUAUAUAUAUAUAUAUAUAUAUAUAUUGUUUUUUAUCAGAAUCCAAAAUUAGUGUUGUAAUAUGAAUAUAUAAUUAUCAUCCCAAAGAGCCUAUGAUUCUAUUUACUCUUUUGAAGAAGAGUAUCCCCUUCCAUUAAGAACUACUAAUCUUAGACAUAAAAGUUUGAUUAUGAGAUUUGAUUUUUAAAUGAGGAGAGAUCACAAAUGAUAUUUAAAUGAAUGAGUCAUAUAUCAAAAUAUGAAUUAAAGAGUACAUGCUACUUCAUAAAUCAAAUUUACAAAUCAGUCUUUAAGCUAACAUUAUUUAAAGAUCUAGAGCAAGUUUCACGGUUUGAUUUCUCCAAUGAAAGAAAAGAAGAAUUGAACAUCUCAUGUAAAAUGAGAUUAUAUUUUUAGUCAAAGAUAAAUUCGUCUUAUAGAAGUGGAGUAUUGUCAUAUUCAAGUAGGCAAAAGUGAAUACACAACGAGUUUCUAUAAUUCGGUCAUUGUAGUCUAAAACUUGUUAAUCCAUUUUAAAGUUUUCAAGCAUGCUCUGUAGGUCUUUGAUAAAAUAGUUUUACUAAAUCAAUCAUCGUAUAACGGCAUUAGUGUGAAAUGGACUAAUAUCCAACAAAAUGAUGAUGUGACAUGGACUCAUAUUCAUUGUACUUCUUGAUCGAGCGACUGACGCCCUAAAUCAACCCAUAAUCCUCAAAUCCUAAAUCAGUCCCUCCUAUUUGAGCCAUAUUCCCCCUAAGAAACCUCGACUCCAAUCUUUGCGGCAAAAUUUAAAUCCAAAACAAAGAUGAGCUUGAGAUUCUACAGACAAGGAGUGAUUGUGUUAGAUUUACAGAAAAUCAAUCAAAGGUAUAACUUUGAUUGUGAUCCCUCAAGAGUAUGUUGUUUGUUCAUAGCCUAUUUGUACUAUUUGUGUUAGUUUUUUCGCAAGUGAUGCGUCGGUGGUCUCUCAAUGAAAAAAAAUAUGAAUUGCCUUUUUUAUAUAAAGAUCAAGAUAAAUAACAAAUUAGUAUCAAUUUGCAUUUCUAACUACGAAUAUUUAGGGCGCAUUUGGUGACCAUUCUUUUAUGAGGAACAAUUUUUGAUUAAAAUAAUAUUUUUUCUUAUUCUAUUCUUGAGAACAAUUUUUGAGUAAAAGAACGCAUUUAGUAACUUCCAUAAACUUCUAUUCCCGAGAUAGAAAUACAUUUGGUAGAAUUCUUCAAUUUUUUUUAUUUCUUUUAAUUAUUUUUUCCUUUUCCUUUUUCUCUUUGGCCGGUUGCUAGCGACCAGUUGAGCGAGGUCCCGUGAGCUCAUCGGAGCCUCACUAGGUCAAGGCGAGGCAUGACAAGCUCAUCAAAGGCCAACCUGGCCACAACGAGCCUCGGCCUCGGCCUAGCUUGGCGAGGCCCAGCCUCGUGCCAACUGGGGAGGCCAAGCCUCGCCGUGCCUCACCUAGCCACGGCAAGGCUCGAGCCAACGACGCUCCGGCCACAGGCCAAAAGGAAGAAGAAGAAGAACAACAACAACAACAAGAAAAGAAGGAAAAAGAAAAGAGAGACAAAUUGAUUUUAGAAAUUGUUUCGAGGAACAAUAAGUUACUUUUUUCUACUUCUUGUUUAUGUUCGAAAUCUAUUCUCGGAAACUAAAAUUUUAUCAAACAAAUUUCUAUUAUUAUUUUUUUUCAGAAACAAAAUAACAUAAAUAAUUGUUCCGGAAAACAUAAAUAAAUUUUAACAAACAGACCCUUAGUCCAUCACUCAAUAAGACGUGCUAUCACAUGAAAAGUUUAGUUAAUGUUAUUUUUGGAAUCACUUCUUUAUUUAAUUCUUUUAUGUAUGACUAUAACUCCCAAUUUAAAAGAGGCACUUAAUCAGACUGGUGAUGCCCCUAGUAUGCGUUACAUGAGAUGUUUAUAUUAGAAUUUUCUCCAACGGUCGGGUCGGGUCCCCACCACCGGCAUCCAUUUGCGCGUCUUUCGCUUGGAUAAUAACACAAGUCCAAUCCAAGUAACUCCCGAUUUAAAGGACAGUGCAAAGGACACGUGGCGAAAAGGGUCGGGUACUUGAAGUCUUUUUUUUUUCCUACUGUUCCGGUCAUGUUAGUUAAUCCCGGGGCGGGUCCAUGUUACUUUACCUGGUCAAAGAAAUUUUACCCACUAAUGGCAGCUGAAACCAAUAGAUUAGUGACUAAUCGUCUUGUUCGAGAAUUUGUUGUCCCAAGAAACGAGGCUUUUGAACUUCUUAAAGAUGAUGAUCUUUAAAGUUAAAUCUGAAUAGGACUUUAUGUUAUCUCAUCACACCAAUUCCCUCUAACUCCUAAACUUCCAAGAGAAAAUAUAUAGUAUCUACAUCGUAUGCUAUUCUAGUUUACUUGAAGAGGACCAUCAGGAUUGGUCUGAAGUUUGAACUAGGAAAGAUACAAAUGUUUUCCAUAGAAUGCAUGCACAUCAUCAAUUUAGAGAGGUAAACGCAUUAUACAAGGAAAGUUCGGAUACCUUCAUAUUUGAUGCUAUAGAGACCGCAUAACUCAUUGGAGAGAUCUUAUCUUGAUUGUGCAACAAUCGUCUCCCUUACAGCUGCAAUCUUCACCCAAAGAUUAAAUUAGGAUCCACACAGAACCUCUGACUUUCAUAUUUAAUCACACAAGAUGAGGUGCUCAUGCGGGGUGGGUUCAAAAUCCUUUAAUUCCAAUUCAAACUUGAAUCACAUUCACUCAUUCCAUGACACUGCCAUUUAUGAUCAACUUGACAGAUUUAAUGUACUUUGCAAUUUGGAAAUGUUAUGCCUAAUUUUCUAGUCACGUACGAAAUGCAAGAAUUUACUCAUCCAUUUCUUCUUUUGGUGCAAAAGACAGAUUUAAAAUACCAUUUUACCCAUUUCAAAAUAUAUUAGACAUGGAAACAUGUACACAUGGUAGUGUCUGCAAGUGUGUUUAGUUACUGCUCAACAAAUCAAUGACAAAGAUUAGAGAAUUACAAUCUCUUUCUUUUUAUCAAGCCCGUCAAAAACUAAUCUUGAUGCUGUUAAAAUGUCCAACCCAAAAGUUUAAGCCGGUAAGUGUAAGGAGACCACAUGAAUAUAAGGCCCAUUUAACCCCGGUAGACAUGCGAUGUGAGGUACUUCAAUAGAUGCGUUAUUCAACAGAUGCGUUAUUCUCUUUUACCACAAAUGAGGUAGUGCUUUCUCAUUUGACAAACUAGAAGCAACUAUUCUAGUAAGAAAAGUACCCUCGACAAGCUUCUCGAACUUGUAAGCUUACAUUAUAAUGCAUUACCGUGUUACGAAGUCACAGUCAAAGAUAGAGCUGCAAGGACCAAAAUUUAGAUGACUUCCCUUCCAUUGAAGCCCUAAUGGAUACAUCUGCCAGUUCUACCCGUAUUCAAAGUCAUCCAAUAAAUUACUUCUCCACAUUUUGCAGAACUUUUGCCAUGAUGGAAACAUCAUCACAUUUGUAACAGCUAUUAAAGGACAAAGGGAUGUUUAAGAAGCAUAAGUGUCAUCAAAAGGUUGAUUUCCCGCAACUGUUAGAGGCUAUUAUUUGUUUAACUAAUACAAGUGAUAAUGUGAAUGUCCCCUAAGAGACUUGCUCUGACAACAUUUGAUAGAAGCUGUAUCUAGCAAAGUAUAGAAGAAGCUCGAAUGCAUGUAGCCUCAAGUUCCCAAUUACGAAAAUGCUGCAAUGCGGAGCAUCAGGAUUCUUGGCUAGCAUUGUCGCUGUAAUAUAAAGUCCAUACACCAGCCAAUUACCUCCUUAGCUAAUGUAUAACGUAGAAAUGAGUAAAUACACGCAAGGGCCACAGGUAGUAUCCUAAACUUAUCAUAUUUGCAACUCAUAGACCUAAAUAGGUAUUUUAGAUCCAAACCUCGUCAUAAAUCCACUCGCAAACGCCAGACUGUUGUAAGAUGCCAAUGUAUUUAAAGAACAAUCCCAUGAUAUUUUGGAUGUGCUCUAGUUUUUGGUGCAAUACAUGAUUAGAAUUUCAAGCCUCAUAAUCUGGGCUUUCUUACACGACCGACUUUUUGCCAAAGGGAAGAAGCAAAGCCCUAAAUUGGUGAGAAUGGUUUUUUUGCAAAUGACCUGAAAGAAAAACAGAGAAAUGCCCAUAGGCAAGAAUAGCCAGAACAGAACAACAUAUCGUGACCAGCAUCAGUCAUAUCAAUAACAACAUUAAAGAAAGAGUUAUUUGAAUCCACAAUGCUUUCAUAAGUAGACAAACUAGUGGGCCAUCCUGCAAAGUCAUUUACAUCAGAAGUGAUCAAAAACCCUUCAGAAAAGAGACUUGAUCAAAGUAGCUGAAAAAUGAUCACUUAUGUAAGAACAACAUUGCAGCAAACGAUGCACUUUCAUCUGUCAAAUGUUCGCUCAUGUAGGAGAGGCUAAGCUUUCUUGCGUUCUUAGAAUCAGAAGCUCUAAGUACUUUCACCCCCAAAACAAAGAUGCAACCAUACAAACUCAGGAAAUAAAAUUGAACCUGACUUGCGGGCGCAGAUUUACGGCUUCUCGAGAGACCGCUUCAAGUAGAGCGGAAAGCAAGUCAUCGACGGAAGAUUAGAUGAGAGGGCGGAGCCAUUGCUUCUCAGUCGCGAGUCGGGGGACGGAGAGAGGCGAGCGAAAUCGGCCGUCGGGAGAGAGCGCGAUUUGCGAUGAAAGACGUCGUGGGAGUGUGCCGAGAGAAUGCAGCCCUGAGGAUGAGGCCGUCGAGUGGAGAGAGAAAGGCGUCGUCAGAGGUAGGGGUGUAAAUGGGUUAGGUCGGGUCGGGUUUUGAUGUUACCCGACCCGACCUAAAACAUAAUGGUCACAUACUGUGACCCGACCCGAAACACAUUAGACUCGCAUCGGAAAUUCGAGUCAGGCCAGGUCGGGUCAGGUUUUUGGGUUUUCCUCUUCUUCUUCUUUUUUCAUUUAACUGUAUAGCCGAGAUAUUUUAUGUUUCCACAGAGUGAGCUGGGAAGUAAGUAUAAAGACAAUAAUCAACCACCCAAGACUUCAUGUUGAACAAGCAGUUCUACAUAUUGGGAUGCUGCACCGCACGAGAAUGGCCAACAUAUGCAAAACAAAAAUUGCUUUCUGUCCCAUCAGUUAAAAAAUGAGCAUAAUCUGAACAUCAGUCGGCCUGGACCCAAGAUGAAAUUUGCUCUAUGCAUACUAAAGAUGCUAUGGUUGACACUUAGAAUCCAACUCUAGUCAUAUUAUCAGACAUCAGCCAGAAGAAUAUUUGAUUCAUGCGACAAGAGGACUGGAUAUCCACAAGGCAAUCAAACAUUCCAGAUCUAAAGUACCCAUUCAGCACAUGUAAUUGUAAUAUGAGUAAAUCAAGCUAAGGAAAUUUUCUCCUCUGAGACAUGAAGUCCAAUUCAUUUGUUAACUGAGAUUAUUGCAACAUUGGAUGCUUAAUAAUGGACCUUCUCCAGCAAAUGAAAUGAUCUAGAAGAAGCUGAACAGAGUACGAAGAUAUAUGAGACUGUAAGAGUGAAAAGGAUCCAAACCAUAGUUUACUUAAUACAAACACCAUGAAGGAUAGAUAAAAUAAGUGAUUAACACGCAUGGGGGCUAAAAAAAUUGCAAAUGCCAAGUGACAUAAUCAUGUUAAUAGAUAGCCAAUUAUCAAUUUGAUGAACUUCAUCAUAUAUAUGAAAAGCCUGGAGAUGCUACCAUUCAAAAGAGUGUUUCUUUCUCCAGUAUCCUUGUACUGUCGGAGGCAUUGGAACAAACAAAAAAGGUUUGGCAACACUAAAACAAUAGGAAUCGCAACAGAGUGGCUUCCACAGACAGAAUCAGCUUCAAACCAAGCAAUAGUGGCGACCUGCAAGAGUUUCACAGAUUUGUAUUAAUUAGACCUCACAUAAGCUCCACAAAACACUAGGUUACUGCUUCAGUAAGCUUUAGUAUUCUCAUGCUAACUCUAUGCUGACCAAUAUCAUUCUAACAUCACAGAAUAGGCAUUGUGAUAUAGCAUGCAGUAAGAGCAAGAACCCUAAAUAAAGUGCCUCCCCUUUUUUCCUUGAGCGGUGUGCUAACUGCUAGCAUAGUUAGACACAGAUCAUCAAGAGCAAAAAUAAUGUUAUUUUUGUUAGACAUGGUUUGAGUUCCCCUGUAAAGCAGCCCGCUAGAAACUUUUAUGGACUAGUAUCUUCGCGUCAAUGACUCCUAAGAGGGCAGAAACAAGUCGAUGAGCAAAAUCUAGCAACACCCACCACCCUCCUCUCCUCUGCCUCAUCCUAUUAUCUCGAUUUAAAAAAUGCUGGAACUUCCUUCAAGUGCCAUGGCACAUUUCAGACUUGCAAGCUCUAUAUUCUUCCCUUCUCAUUUUAGUUCUAGAAGGCAGAAAUACGCAACGAAAACUAGCAUGGAAAUUUGACCGAACACUUCGAGGGCAUUCAGGAUCAAAACAGAGCAUCUCCAUCAACCAUCGUCCGCUCGACCGCAAUCGCGAGAGAAUCACGUUUCGAGCAGAGGAACCGAUCUACGACGCACCCAAGAACCCGAACUGAGGACGGAACGAGAGGGUAACCCGGUGCGCGCAGAUGGGUACAGAGCCCGGUGCUGCUGUCCUGGACUCAACUUAAGAGGCAGAGCCAUUGGUGGAAAAAAAGCAAGAAACGGUGGCGAAUUCAAGAAGCAAAAGCUAUGCGCAGAGACGAAGCAUGAAUGGCUUACCUCCACGGCCAAAGACUUGUCCAAUCUCCAGGAACAACAGCUCCCGCAGAACUCGAACCUAAACGUCAAAAUUUCAGCUCGACCCUUAACAUGGGAAGGGGAAGGGGAGGGGCUUUCAGCGACGGACAGCAACGAUCGACUGAUUCAGCGGCGGCUAGGGUUCCGGCGUUGAGACGAGGGGUGGUGACGGCGACGGUGAGGCUGAGGCCCGUCAAUCGGAGGGUGGCAGCGGAAUCCACAAGAAGUCACAGUCGUCGAGUUCGGGUCGUGUUCGAGUCGAGUCGGAUUUUUUUGACACCCUAGUUGGAGGGAGUGACAGCCGUCAGAGGAGGCGCUAGACGGGAAAAUUCAGUGCGUUGGGGUAGAGUGCAAAGGGAGCGUCGAGCGUGGGAGGAGGAAGAGAGAGAAGGUAAAGAGGAGAGAGAAUGCCCUGCCUUCCUUCUGCCCGCACUUUGGUUUGAAGGUUUGAAGUGGACAACGUGGACUUGACACGGACAGGUGUCACACUUUGAAUAGUUCAGAGUAAAAAUGAUACGGAGCUUUUAGGGUACCUACUAUUUUCUCUUAAAUAAGCAUGUGUUUUUACCGUGUAGACUCAUCAAUCCUAUUCAGCUUUAGGGUAGAUUAUAGUUAUCUUGAUCAUACAGCAUACAUUUCUCUCUCUUUUUUAUAAAAGGGCAUGGAAGCAAAAAACUGGCUACUAAUUAGGGGUGUACAACCGGACCGGGUCAACCCGGUUCCCGAUUCCGCCCACCCGGAAAACAAGGUCAGGAACCGGUUCCGGUUGAAAUCGGUCCGGGAAUUAGUUCCCAAAGUUCAGACCCUGUUUGAACCUGAACCGGUCCAGGUGCCGGUUCUGAGGGAAUACCCACGCGGGAACUGGAUCAACUAGACCGGUUCGGGAACCGGUUUUUAAGUCCAAAAGACCAAAACCCUAGUCGUUUCUAUCUUUACUCUCACGCUCGUCACUCUCAGCCUCCACCUCCGCCGAUCCAUCCGAGUGCUGCACUGCUGACGUUGCUUCCGCUCGCAGCUCGCCCAUCGUCGCCUUCCUCCAAAUCAGCUCCCCCAUCCUGGUCCCGGCCAUCCUCACCACCCCGAUGCCGUCGGCCUCGGACACGUAUGUGACAGCGCUACUUGAGAAGACCGGGUGCAAGACGUUUGCGGGCCUCCUUGUCUCGAGUGGGGUCAUCAAGACGCACCAGUCAGUGCUAGAAAAGGGCCCAACGGUGUUCGGGCUCGACGUGAGCUCAUGUCACUCUUGUCGUACCACGCGGUGGCGAACUACACCCCGAUUGGAUCCUUGAAGACGAGCAACGCCCCAAUUAGCACCCUCGCCACGAACGGUGCCGGGAAGUAUGAUUUCACCAUGAAGACCGCCGGCGACUCCGUCGCGCUCGACACCGGGGUCGACUCCUCACGAGUGGGCAGCACAGUGCUCAACUCCACCCCCGUCAUGAUCUUCACCGUCAACAACGUCCUCCCCGCCAAACUGUUCGGCAAGUCCCUGUCCCCCGCGCCGGCACCGUCGCUGUUUGCUCUUUUGAUUCGUCCUGGUAUUUUAAGAAGAUAUCGAUCCGUCGGACCAUUCUUGUAUUGCGAGUCUGGUGUUUUUUUUUCUCGGUGGAACAAAUCUUGAGAAUUGGUCAAGAGUUGAGCGAACGAGCGAACGAGCAUUUGAGGUUGAAGACUAAUUGGCGAUAUGUGACUUCAUUUUUCGUUUUUCUAUUGGCUGGGAAUAAGUUUUGGGGAAAAUUGAGGGGCAACUUCUGCAAUUGCCCGUGUGAUGGUACCUAAUUUACUAAUCUGCAAUCUGCCACCAGUGAUUAUUUUUUAGAAAUGAUCAUAUGAGUUAGGAGUGAUCAGUCCCUGAUUUUUGAAACUUAAAUCUACUCAUUUGCCUUGGAACCAACUUUGGAACCUACCAAUUUUUCCUUCUCCACUUCCAAUGUCUACUGAGAACCUGUUUUUCUGUUGUUUCUUUCAUUUUUUCCAACGAAAUAUUAUAAGCAAUAAAGCGACUUAAAAUAAAAGAUGAACAAAAGCAGUCAAGUUAGGAGUGACUAAAGGUUGUGAGACUUGAACCAGAGAGGGCAACCUACGUGCAAGCAAGGAAGAGGGUGACUUGCUUUCUUGAAGUUAAUUUUUUUUCCCGCGUCCUGCUUUGUUAAUCUCUUUUCUACUUUAGGAAGCCAACGUAUGUCUAAUGAUAUCGGACUAUGUCUACUGGUACCACGUACAAUGACUUGCUUUCUUGAACAAUGUUGUUUGCAUCCGCCCUCGUACGAGAUGGAUUCUUGUUCUUCAAUCUUUAUCAUAUGAACACAUGUUAUUCUUUUCUUUACUAGUUAUACAAUAAAGAUUUAGCCAUUGUUUUCAGCGUUGAGUUAUCAGUGAAAGGCAAGCUUUUUGUUUUUGUAAUUCAUCUAAACUUGUUUAUCUAAGGUUAAUAUAAAGAUUCAGCAAUUUUUAUGCAAAACAGUUUCUAAUAUAAACAAGGUCAACCAUGUUCCCGGACCGGAAAAACAUGGUGGGUGGGGAACAGGGUCAAAUGCAAACAGGAUCGGGAACAGGAUCCAAAAAAAGAUAACCAAUUAUAACAGAGUCAAAUACAUGGUCCAGGUCUAGACCCUACCUACCUUGGACCCGCUCACCUCUACUACUAAUACAGUUAUGAGAAUACUCUAGAAACUCGAUGAACUAGUAAAGUUCAAACCUUUAACUUAUAGAAGUGAUUUGAACUAAAAUAGUCUGAGCAUAGUUGAUAGGAUGCGAAAGAACAAUCCCUGAUUUUCUGAGCUAAAAAUGCUGCGACACCUUGACCAGUUAUGCAAACCUUGAGGGUUUUUAGAAAGUCAUUUUAACAUUAACGUUUCACCAAUAGAUAUCACGAGUGCUUGUGUUUUUCACUAGCCUUAUAAUAUUAGAAGUGGAUUAAAUUGUGAUUCCAAGGGGAUGAAUCAUGAUUCUUUAAAUAAAUGCGAUAAUUUUUCAAAUCAAAUCUAUCUAUUUUUGGUAAGUUAAUUAAAUCAUUUUUACUUUGCUAAAAGAGGUUAAAUUUAUUUUCCUAAACGUAUUUAAUUUAUCCACACACAGAACACGGCGCUCUUUAAUUUGAUUGCAUACUAUGCAAAUAAAAAACUCGAGUGUAUAUACUUGCUAUACAGCCUAUACUCCAUCCAUUUCCGCUUGUUCUCGCUCCAAUGCAUUUGAGAUAUUAUUCUUGGCGUCGAUGAGGAACUCGACGGACCAGAUGCUGCGGCUCCAUGUGGGCGAGCUACACGUCAGCAGCACUGGAUCCUGCGCUCCGGAGAAAGGAAGCUUCCUCUCAAUUUCGAGAAAAUAUUGGGUGGUCCGGGACCUCCACGUCAGCGUGGUCCCCGGCCACUCACGAGAUGCCAUGUGGAGGGGUGGGCCCCACUUGUGUCUUCUGCCUUCUUCCCCUCUCUCUCCUCUUCCUAGACUGCCGAUGCCCUCUCUCCUCCUAGCCUGCACGCUCUCUCUCUCUCUCUCCUGUCAGAGCAUUUAUUGCGGACGUUUUUCUCUUUCCUUCGUUUGAGAGAGAAAACGCCGUCCAUUUCUUUCCUUUCGAAUUUUUGAAUCUGAAAUUCUCUCUCCGCGCUCGUUCCCUGCCGUCGCCGAGCAUCAAGCGGCCGUUCCCCUGCCGUCGCCGACGAACCACAUUACGGCCGCCGCUACUCCGGUGCUCGCUCGCUUCUCUCUUCGGGCUCGUUGCUGCUCCGUCGUUCGUUCCGGCGGUCCCGGGGUCGCAGAUGCAGCAGGCGGAGGAGAAGCAGGCCUCUUCGAGCUCCCCUCAACGUCGGCGAGCGUCGCCCGCCGAGCGAGACCUCCACACACCGGAAGGCUCGGAGGCGAGGUUGCUGGAGAAGCUGGUGCCGUACGCGAAACGCGACGCCGACGGCCCUCCACCUCCGCCGGUUGCCUCCGUCGGCGUCGGAGUCCGUCGCCCCCGACUCCGACGCCGACGCCCCUUCGCCUCCCUCUCGCGACCUCCACUCCGCUCUCUCCCUCUUUCCUCUAUGGAGCGCCCUUACUGGCCACCGUGAGCAACCUCUCUCCGAGUCUCCGUCUCCUUCGCGGCCAGGUAGACGUCGUCCAUCUCUCUCUCUCUUUCCGGUGUCACGGAUCCUUCUUUCUUAUUUCUGUUCCAUGGUGAUGAGCAAGUGUACUCUAGCUUGAUGAUGCAUCAUAGGUAGGUUCGUUUCAUGAGAUUGAGAUUUUUGGCCACUGUAUGUGGUAUUACUGAUUUCCAGGUUUUUUUUUUUUUUUUUAAUGUGUUGCAGCUCUUUUAAUUUUGUAGUUUUCUUUGUGGAUUUAAUUUAAAUUUGUUUGUAAAGCUUUUUCAGUAGAACAUUCGACAUAAUGUUGCUCAUGUUCAUUCAUCUUCCGCAGAAACGAUGUUGGUCUACAUGGAAAAGGCACUGCUAUUGUCUCUGCUUCUGGAUCAUCAGACAGAUAAAUAUGUUGUAUUGCAUUCUAUUUUAGUGUCUGUUGGAGUGUCUUUUUGCUUCUUCGUUUUUCCCUUUUAGGCGAUCGGUCGCAUAAUUUGACUUUUCUUCAAUAGGAAAGACCUUAAAUCUAAAAGAACAUUUUUUAUAUUUAUAUUUUUUGGUUUAAGCACACAAAACCUUGAAUAGAAGAGGUUAAGGUCUACAUGUGUUGGCAAUUCUUCCUUUUGGUAGUUAAGAGAUCACAUUUGUGUAAUUUAGCAAGUUUUUGAUUUUUAAAUUGUUUGAUUCUAUGAAUUACUAUCUGUCGAGCCUAAAGAAAUUUACUCUUCAUGAGUUGCUGGUCAUUGUAAUCGUGCUCUGAAACUAAUCUGCAUCUAGACUAGUUGUUCUACAUCACCUAUCGUUGGACCCAUAGCCGGUGUAGUGUCUGUUACAUGCAUCAGUUGCUCAUGCUUUGUAAUUAUUCAGAGGCAUCGACAAACUAGGGCAAAUACCUAUGUAUCCUAUAUUUUUGGUCAAAAUAGGACUUUAAUAUUACUGUUACUUUUUUAAUACGUUGACAUGCAUCUACUUGCACAAUCCACUAAAGUAACAUCAGAACAUUUCUUAAUGGUUUCUGAAAAGCUGUUUCAUGGAUUCUCAUAAUUCGACUCAUGCAUUCAAGGAUCACUGAGUCAUCUUAAGUUCUGCUCUAAGGUACUUAAUCUGCUUUGGCCUCAUGCUCUCACUCUGUUUUUAGGAAUUUGUCUACCUCAGCCAUUAUGGAAAGAAUUCCAAGCAGGUGACCAUGUCCUGUGUGGCAUCCUCCAUGGAAGAACUACAGGGUGAGAAUUGUGGCCUAAUUUUUCUGGCAGCUAGAAGAAAGUUCUUGUUUUGUUUCAGUAAUAGUUAUGGUGUCAUUUGAUAAUUAUACAUUUGAAUUUAUCAUAUAGCUGUGUCUUGUCGCUGUUAUUGUAUCUGCAGUUAUUUGCUCGCUUACUUGGAUUGUUAUGUGUUUUGUUUUCUCCUUUUUGUAUGUGCAAGGUCAUAAGUGGGCAUUUGGGAUAGGUGAGAUCUAUCGCAUUUGAUCCUAGCAAUUAAUGAUUCUGCACUGGCUCUGCAGAUUGGACAAUUAAGGUAUUAAGCUUUUACAAUUGUGCUUUUUGAUGAUUCCUGGUCUUCUUUUGUUUGUAAAAUUUGCUGAUAAUAGAUGCUCACUUUUUAGUUCUUUGGUUGCUACCAUUUGCUAAUUUAAAUUUCUAUGUAUAGUUCUUUUGGUUAGUUGAACGAGAUGAUUUGGUUAGUUGAAUGAGAUGAUUGUUAGAAUCAUUGAGUCGCCAGAAAGUUGAUCACUCUUUUCUAUGGCAGCAUUUUGUUCUAAACCAUUUUUGAAGUGGUAUCCUUAAUUCUAAUGUUAUUUCGAAUUGCAUGAUCUCUGUGAUUUAAUUGUAUAAAGUACAAUUUGAGAUGGAAAUUGCUAUUAAUAUUUUUGAAAUAGAUGAGCGUUGCAGAGAUGAAUUCUAAAUGCCCCCAACUGCAAUGCAUGAGCUUAAAGCUUUGAGUCAUAAUUAUUAAGCAUUUUGUUAUAGGUCAAAGUUCUCAACAAACUUGCUUCAGCUCGAGCUUCAGGAGCAGGUAGCGGCAGCAGAGUCUUGACAGAUUUGGUAGAGGGUCUAGAAGAAGCAGCCGUUGCUGUAGAAUUGAGGUUGAAGAUCAACCAGAGUCAUCCGGACUUAAAGGGAGGGUACUUGGUUUCUUGGUUACUAGCAAUGUCGUUUUCUUUUUCCUUCUCUAAGAUCCUGAUAGUGUAGAGGUUACAGAUCUUUCCGAGACUAUGGAGAGGCAGUGUUGAAGCACUUGGAGAACUCUAUUGAUUUAGACCCAAAGCUUCAGAAAGCUCCAGUAAAUUAUGAAGGAGUAAGUUUUGAAUCGAUGAAGUUAUUCUUAAUAGAUUGGACCUCAUCAUUUCAGCAGCUAUUUAUAUUGUGUAUUAUCUUGUUCGUAUGCUGAGGAGACAAGUUAAUGCUCUAAUUCUCAAUUAAAGUACAUACGUUCUGAAUGCUCCUGAGGAUGGGAGCAAGAAGGAGAGUUAAACGUCGCAAUGGAGUCCAUGUUUGUUCUUGAUUUGUAUCUACAAGAGGAGUCAAAAUUAUAGUCCACAAUGAGUUGAGCAAAAUGCUGUGGGCUUACCAAAAUAAUAUCUGAACUAGUGACCUCAGAGGAGUAUUUUACUAUAAAGAAAAUGCAGGUCCAUCAUGCUAUCUAGUUAAUUCCUCUCUUCUUUUCUCCCUGAAUAGCGCAAGACACUGGGUGAGCUUUGCAUUUUGCAUGUGAUGCUGAUCUCUAGUCUGUUUGCUGCUUAAACAGGUCCGGGUAUCUGGGUUUGGAGGAUGGUUCCUUCUGAGGCUCUCGCUUCAUGAUCCUGUUCUUCCUCUUAACAUUGAGGUAGAGGAAUCUCUUACACAAGCUACCAUAAAAAUGAUUUUAUUGGAUUAAGAAUUCAAUUCAAAAUUUACCUGCUGUAGGCACCAACUCACGAUGACGCUGUAAAACUUGGACUUGCCGUGCUUGGGGCUGUUAAGGAGUUUGCAGCUUUGGAUACAUCUGCUUUAGACAAGUUUGUUCAAGUAUCAUGAGCCGAUGAUGCAGAGCGCUUUGGUACAAGUAUCUUUCGGCACAUUAUACUGGCAGUUAAAGUCGGCUUUGGCCUCUACCUCUGUACAGUAUGUAUAAUCAGUGCGUCAAUCUCUGAUUCUGAGGAGGUUCAUUUUUCGGAUGGUUUUGGUCACAGGCACUCGAAAUACUAGUUGAUGGCUAUGUUUACUUUAGUUUUUACUUAUGUUCCAUGUAUGCUACAGAGAUGUUCUGAUAAAUAAGAAACGUUCUUCGACUACAGAAUUUGUCGGAGGGAUGUUUGAAGUUGUGAUGCAACUAGUUUUUUUCGUUUUUAUAAUGUUCGAUUAAUUUUGAUUGCGCGUAUCUCCUGAUCAUUGUUCUUUACAUGGAAUGCGCAAUUUCUGUGCUUAAAUGUUGUGAUGUUACCCAAAGACAUCCCACGCGUCUAAUGUUUGUAAUGAUGAAGACUCGUAUUGGACGUCCUGAUGAACUGACCUAAAUUUCCUUUUAUCUUCACUAGUCGUAUGACAUGUCAUCCAACACAACCCAAUAUUAUUUCCAAAAAGGGUGGUUGGACAAGAAAAAAAAAAAAAAAAUGGGGUGUUGGGUUUGGACGUUAAAUUUUUUUAGCUCAACAACACAAUGAGGUUGUAAACUAGGUGCGUGCAAAGUUUGAUGGAUUAAUUUUGAGUACGGAAGCGCGUACGAAUUUAUUUUCGAAAGUUUUAAAGAAAAAAAAGUUGGAAAUUGGUUAUUGGGCAAGAAAUAGAAAAAAAAAAUUGGGUGUCGGGUUCAUAUGCUAAUUUUUUUUUGCUCAACAACACUACAAGGUUGUAAACUAGGUGCAUGCGAAAUUUGAUUGAUUAAUUUUGAGCACAGGAGCACGUACGAAUUUAUUUCCGAAAGCUUUAACAAAAAAAAAAAAAAGUUGAAAAAGGGUUGUUCAGCAAAAAAUGGAGAAAAAAAUUGAGGUAUCAGGUUUGGAGGCCAAAUUUUUUUGCUCAAUAAUACAAUGAGGUUUUAAAGUAAGUGCCUGCAAAAUUGGAUGGAUUAAUUUUGAGUACGGAAACACGUACGAAUUUUUUUCCGAAAGCUUUAACAAAAAAAAAAAUAGUUGCAAAAGGGUUGUUCGGCAAAAACUGGAGAAAAAAUUGAGGUAUUGGGUUUGGACGCCAAAUUUUUUUUGCUCAAUAACACAAUGAGGUUUUAACCUAAGUGCUUGCAAAGUUUGAUGGAUUAAUUUUAAGUACGGAAACACGUACGAAUUUAUUUCCGAAAGCUUUAAGAAAAAAAAAAGUUGGAAAAAGGUUGUUCGGCAAAAAAUGGAGAAAAAAUUGAGGAAUCGGGUUUGGAGGCCAAAUUUUUUUUCCUCAAUAACACAAUGAGAUUUUAAACUAAGUGCAUACAAAGUUUGAUGAAUUAAUUUAGAAUAUAGGAACACGUAUGAAUUUAUUCCCGAAAGCUUUAAUUUGUUCGGCACCAUGCCCUCGAGUAGUUCUCACUUGAAGCAAUGCACUAAUUGAGCCAGAGCAAGCUUCACUUGUAUUGAGCCUAACAGAAUUCCGGGGCACCUCCUACAUCCUAAACCUCAUUGUGUUAUUGAGCAAAAAAAAAUGGCGUCCAAACCCGAUACCUUUUUUUUUUUUUUUUUCUCUCUAUUUCCUGCCCAAUAACUCUUUUCCAACUCUUUUUUUUGCCGGGGGCCAAGAUGAGCUUGCGACCUCUGCUACAACUCACUAACACCAAACAAGACAAUUGGCAGCUUUAAGCAAUCUGGACAUCCACAUGCUAUAAAGGAAUUGAAACCUUAUAUUAUUCAAAAAUCUGAGUUAUGUACCGCUAUAAUUGAGAUUCACAAGUGCCGGUUUCAGAGAUGUCAUGAAUGCAUUUACAACAGUGGUUGUUUAUUCACAAGGCAAAAAAUCAAAGUAGACACUCUUCCCAUCUCACCUCACUCAUUUCAUCUUCCUGCCUCAGCUAGUUGAAUAAUCAAAUCCUUAAACCAUGAUUAUUUCAUCUUUGUUCAACAGAAAUGAGGACCGGUGGGCUGUUUAAAUGGUGCAGCUUGUUUUCGCGGCUUAGUAAUCCUUCAUUCGUGUGAUUGCACAUUGGAUCGGAAUCUGCGAAGAAGUCGACUACUACAGCUAGAGAUAUUAAUUGCUGAGCGAGAGAUGAAAUAGUCUUCUGGCACCUGCAAACUGGCUAGCAGCGACUGCUAGCUCUUGCUCCUGUUUUACAUAACAAAACUAAAUGAGAACUUAAGGAGGAAACUAAAUUCAGGCUAAGUCAUGAUCGCCCAUUUAGCAUGAAUAAAACAUUGGUAAGCUAAUCCUAUAUAGUCGAUGGUGUCAGCAAGCGCAGUGUUGCUCAAAGCACCACAACCCACAGAAAAAAAAAAAAAAAAAAAAAAAAAGGAGUUCGCCUAGCAUGAGAAUUUUCUGGUUAAGCUAGUUUAGAAGCACCCUAUCGCAGCACUGUAAGUGCUUUUUAAGCUCGAAAAUUACAUUACAUCAAAGGUCAAGUGCUUUGAAAUUCUAUAUUAACUUCUGAAUGUCUUCAAUACUACGGUGAAAUUUGAGAUUUGUUUAGAUUGUGCCCCAAUCAUACAGUUUGUACUAAUAAAGUACAAGAUGCUGAUGCAGCCAUCCUGUUUCUAACAUAGCUAUAUGUCAAUAUGAAGAUCAAAACCACACUGCGUUACGGGAAAAUAAUCAUUUCAUCUUCCUUGAGAUGGCUAUAAAUAAAUAACUAUUCACCUGGGAGAUUGAAGUCAUAUCUCAUAAAAAAGCACCCAAAUCAGAUGUCCAGACACAGGAUGUGAAUGUACCAAGAGAGGCAUCUCUCUUUUCUCAUGCAGAUGGAACUCACUCUACAUGCAACUAUGACAUUGCCACUCAAAAUGUAGUAGCGGGUUUGUCGGCAAACUUGAUAAAUUAUGUAAAAGGAGCAAUACCAUCUCAAUAAUUUACUCAUGUUAUCAUGCUUUCCAUUGGAUAUAGACUAACAUCCACAAGCCAUAGAGAACUAACCUGCUUUACUUUAAGCUGUUCAUCAGAGACAGACACACCGCACAGGAAUGUUUUUUUCCCCUCAAAUCCAAACAUCUCUCUUUUUAUUACUCAAUUGCUUGGGUGGGGAAAUGGGAUUCUCUUCUUCUUUUUCCAUUUUAUCAUGAAAAACACCUCGAAAACAAUAUAAAUAUCACAUCCCAUUGCCGCACAUGACAUACACAUACCUAUGUCAAUUCGGUUAAUGCCAAGCAGAUGCGACGGUGAGAGUUCGGCCGCGCCAGCCGAAGCAAAACCCGCCAUUCUCUUCUUUCACCGUGAAUCUCGGGUCCCAGGCCCAACAGCCGAGCCACGGCUUCAAUGAUUCGGCCACCUGUGGACCCAGUGGCUUCAACUGGAACCCAGCCAUCCCCAUGCGGGCCCUCCACUCCUCGAACACCUCGCAUCUUUCAACCCGGUCCCGACCUUCGCAAGCAACUGAGUUCACCAAUUUCCGAAUCAGCCCCUCCUCCGCCAUCGCUCGCUUCGAGUUGUCCCUCGGCACUGUAGACUCGAAAUACUCGAGCAGCGCCUCGUAGUACGCCAGCGCCUCCCCCACGCGCAUCGGGAACGGCGCCGUGUUCCCAUUCAUCUCCUGCUCCACCAGCGUCACCACCUGCGGCGCCAGCCCCUUCACGCGGCGGAGGAGCUCGUCACGCGUGUUCUCCGCGGACACGCUCUCGUCCGGCAUUCUGUGCAGCUUGAACGCCAAGUUCACCGCCAGCACCUCGUCUGGCUCGAAGACCACCGAGUUGCGGCUCAACUCGCUCAGCUUCUGGCUCACGAUGUUCAAUUGUAACCUAACUCCCCUUUGGGCCGCGAGAUCUCUCAGUCGAUCCCAAAGCAUCAUAAACCUCUGCCCACCGUUGAAGCUAUCUUGGACCGUCGUGAUCUUGAGGGUGGAUCGAUUGCCCGCCUGACGCACGGACACCAUGUAAAAGAGAAUGAGGUGAUCGAGGCACUCUUCUUCCCAACCAAUAGCCAAAUAAAUUACAUGGAGCUUGUUAGUCGAGGGUUGCUCCGAUGCAGCUUCCAAAAUCGCGUAAUUGGCAGCCAGGAAACCGAGCCCGAAAAAAGGAGACAGGUCGUAAAGUGACCGAACCGACGACACAUGGUCCUCGGUGAACAACUCCGCCACGGGAGGGGGGUAAUCGAUGGGGCUCACGCGCGAUUUAAGCGCAGACAACAUGUAUCCCAUCAAUUUCUGCUUUGAAUUACUCAUGGUGUUCGGCACGGCAGACAAGCACCUCAGGAUCUCCCAAGCCACGUCUACUCUGCCCUCGUAUAUCGCCGUCGCAGCCUCCACUACCGACUGCUCCCACGAGAUGGAUACCGGUGACCUCUGGACGGGGAGCUUGACGCUCUCUACCGGAGACUUGACGCUCUCACUUCCUUUGGAGACCUCGGAACUGACAAAGGCAUUGCUCGGGACCUGGAAGACCUCAUAGGACUCAGAGCCGCUCGAUAGGGAUUGGGUGUUGCUGCUGAACGACCCGAGGACGCUGACGAUCAGAUCUCCCGCAAACAAGGGCUGCCGUGGGUGAUCGCCAGUUUGAGAGUGAGCGUCGAAGGCAUCUCUGAGCUUCUUGGGAUUUUGGCCACAGAGUUCCUCGAUCGCGCGCUUGCUGCUGGAGGAGAGGUUCUUAGGCCAAGCGGAACGCUCCAUUGGUGAGGGAAGUCCUGUGCCUUGCUUCGUAAUGAUGAGGGAGGAAAGUGAAGAAAGAGAGUGAGUGGCUUUUUGACAAAGACAAAAUAGCCCGGGGUCAUAUGCGAAAGAGGCAAGGAAGAAGCGCGCGGAGGUGGGGCGAAAGUUCCUUGUCUUGGGGGAUCUAGCCAUUUCCACGCGCUAAGCGGGAGGUGGUGCGAAGGUUCCAUGUCUUGCGGGAUCUAGGCAAGUUACGAGCAGCUAGGUUCAUCGCAAAUGAUAUUAUGAUACACAGUAAAUCCCCUUUUUAGAAAAAAACGAACAUCUUGUCUUAUUAGUAUUGUUAUUGGGGCAAAUUUUAGAGAAGAAUUUAAAGUGAAAGCAUUUUCUCAAGAAAAAAAAAAAGAAGGAAAAAUUUGAAGUUGACCUUAUCUCAAACAAUAAUUUGGAGUGACAAAUUUAAUCUCAAAUAAAACACCAAACUUAAUGGUAAAAUCUUAAUGUAAUUAAUGACAUUUUUGUUCAAAAUCCUUUUUCCUUUUUUGAUUUUUUUUUCUUUCUCAAGAAUAACUGCAUUACACGAGUAUCAAUAUAGUUUGGACAGGAGGGUCAAAGCGGAGAUGGACGGGAAGAACCGCCAGGCGCUCACUGAGAAGGUCAUCGAGCUCGAAAGCUAAGGUGAAUUCGAUAGAUAUUGUUGCUUAUGGCUUAUUGCUUUUUUAACCAUUUUCUAAGGCUUGGAGUAGUUAGUUUACCUCAGCUGAAUGGGUUCUUGGAUAUUAGUUGCGCUAGAAUGGUUAGCUUUCGUUGCAUUUCACCGAAUGCAGCACCUUGUGUCCAUAGUUGAGAGGGAGGAGGGAGUGAGGGAGGGAGUGUUUGUUUAAGGAAUAGGAUAAAUAUUUUUCGAGAUAAAAUGGGCAUACUGUGUUUUGACGCCAUGCUUGAUCCUUAGAGUGUAUGAGCUAUUCUAGGUUGGUAGUUGCUUCUUGCAGUAGUAUUAUAAUGUUCCAUGCACCUGUUUUGAGCUGUUCCAAUCGCAGCUAAUCGUCUCUCUGCACCAUCUCUAUGUGAACCUUCCCUUUUCUCCUCAAACGCCUUUCCCUAUUCACUCUCUUCCAAAUUAGAGUUCAAUUCAUCCACUUGCCUCAAUGUUUGUUCGACUGUGGCAUUGCGUUUCACGAGACCCUCCAAAACAAUGAAGAAUUCGGGUUUAGGGUCGAGCUUGGACUUUGAUCCCGCAGCAUAGCGAGAGCUGCUAGAUGAAGCAAGGGUCCUCGUGUUUUUUUUUUUGGAGCUUGUGCAGGGCUUUUUUAGUGUAAGUGCCAGCUUGAGGAAGGACACUCAAAGGCAAAGUGGAGUGAGCAUUGAACAGAAUGAGCAUUGAAUGUUAAGCAAGGAGCAACAAGCCAAGCGAGUAUCGCGUGGCGAGCGGCAUGAGUGACCCAAAAAGAGCGAGGCGAGUCUCAAGUGACAAGUGGAAAAGUUGCUUUUUUCGAUUUUAGCAAAUUAAAAACUAAGAAAAUAAAUAAGACAGAAGAAAACGAAUAUUAGAGAAGGAUGCCAUAAGGUGUCUUUUUGGAUGCCAUGAGGAAUCCUCACAAUUUUUUUUUCCUCUUUCGUAAAUUAUAAUUAUUAACGUCGUAAAAGACAUUAAAAAACCUAAGUUAUUAAAGAACAAUAUAAAAUUACAUGAACUCCUCACUAAAUAGCUGUUUAAUGUUGUUAACGUCGUUUAUUUUAAGGUUUCUCUAUAUAUAAAAAUUAUAAAUAAUAUUAUAUAUAUAUAUACACUUAGGGUUGGUCUGGGUUGGACUGACCUAAAACUCUUAGGACCGAGGACUGGCAGGGUUAGGCCAGUCCAGGGUCGGUCUAAGGUUGACUCUGGAUCUAUGAUCACCCUUAACUAAGACGCUAAAUUAGCCCUAAAUUAGAAAGUCCCACUUUGAUCCCUCCCAUUGGAGCACUAUUUCCCAUGAGAAACCACCAGUCUUGGCAGCAAAAUUUGGAGAAAAGAUGGAGGAGAACUCAUGAUUCCGUAGUGGAAACGAUAAAGAGUGGUCGUGUUAAAUUUACAUUGAAGUCCAAUGUCUUUAGUUUUUGACAAAACAUGACAAAAAAGGCAGAGAAUCAAUCAAAUGUAUAACAUUGGCCAUGGUACCUCAGAGAAUUUGUUAUUUAUUCAUGAUCUAGUUGUGUGUUUGUGUUGGCCUCUUUGCAUGCGCUAGUGAUCCCCCAUUAAAAAAAAAAAGAUUCAAUAUAGCCUUUAGCAUAAGGAUGAGAUGAAUGAAAAAUUGGUAUCGGUUUGCAUUUUCAAGGUUGGAUAUUUUAUUUGAUGGCCGAUGCUUAACUAUGUGCUAGAGUGAGAAGAUGAAUUCAACGAAUUUGGUCCAUUAAAAAAUCUUCUAUAUUUGGAGAAAAUCUUUUGUAUAAAAAAUCUUAUCAUAUGACGUGUCAAUGUGAUGUCAAUUCUAAGAUCAAUUUUUUUCUUUUAAUUUUUGUAUGUAUGACUGUAAAUCACUAUUAAAAGGAGGCACUUAACAGUAUUAGAAUAUCACCACAUCAACCGAUAUCUGAGCUGUUAACCUGGAAUUUUCUCCAAUGCGCAGGGCCCCACCACCCGAAUCUAUUUGCGCGUCUUUUGCGCGGCCCAUAAACAUUGGUCCAAGUGUCAACUCCUGAUUCAAAGGGCGUUGUAAAGGACACGUGGCGAAGAGGGGUUGCGUCCUUGGAGUCUGUUUUUCACUAUUUGCAGUUAUGUUAGUUGAUCCGAGGGAGAGCUGGCCAUCUCUUACUUUAGUCAAAGUUUUACACGCUAAUGGCAGCUAAUAACCAAUUUAUUAGUGACUAAAUUGUCUUCUUCGAGAACCUGGUGACCCCACGAAAUGAGGAAUUUUGAAACUUUUAAAAUAUUUUGACCUUUAAAUAUAUUUGUAUAGCUUUCAAGCGAAAUCGAGAAUUAAUUUAAUGUUGUAUAAAGUAAAUACCUAAUUAUCUUUUUAAAGAGCCUGUGGUAAUUAGAUAAUUCUAUCUUAUCCCUUCCAUUAACAUUGAGUAAACCUAAUUGCAAAAAUCUUAUUUUGACAAUUGAUUUUGAAAUAACUGGAGCGACUAGAAAUGAUAUUUAAUAAGUGGGUCAUCUAUCGAAACAUGAAUUAAAUGGUAAAUUUUGUUCUAUAAACCAAGUUUAAAAGCAAAUAUUUGAAUUUGUAGCUGACAUUAUUUUAAAAAUUCAGAGCAAUUUUAACCUUUUGAAGUCUCCAAAUUACAUGAGAAAAAGAGAGGGCUGAACAUCUUGUGAUAAGCUGGAUAAUACUUUUAGUCAAAGAUAAGUUUGUGAUUUUAGAGGGAAGGUGUAUUAUUAUAUUCAAGUAGGCAAACCGGAAUACACAACAAGUUUCUAUAAGUUGAUCAUCGGCAUUUGGAACUUACACGUCCAUUUUGAAUCUUAAGGAUGGAUUGUCUAAGGUUUCUUUAACCGAAGAACUAAUUUGCUUGCUGCAAGCGGAAGAACCGGGCGCGUUUCAAAAUUAUUGAUCCGUUAUCAUGCCAUCCUAUUAAGAAUAACAACAGCAUCUUUGACUAUCCAAAGUUCGUAUCUAAAGCGAGUUUUCAAAAAACUGCUCAGUUUUAACCAAAGUGGCUCUCCUAGACCGUGUCGACUAGGCGAAAGGCCUAAAGAGAACGUUGUUUUAGGGGAUGAUGCUCAUGCUCUGCUGGGGCACUGGUAGAAUAGCUUUUACUAAAUCAAUCACACCCUUUCUUUUGGCAUAACUACAAAUGCAUUAGUUUUCUAUAAAUUGCAAUGUGUCCGACAUUUAGGGCGUGUCCGACAACCAUUCUAUUCCAGAAAUAGUUUCUGGAACAAAAAUAGAUUUUUCUAUUUUUAUUUCUAGAAGAGUUUCUAUGCAAAAAUAACCGUUUAAUAACGACACAAAAUUUCUACUCUAAAAAUAUAAAUUCGUUUGAUAACGAUACAAAAUUUCUUCCUUUCAGACGGCGGCGGCAACGACUGAUGACCUUUAUUAUAAAAAAUAAAAAUAAAAAAUGAUUUAGUAACAAAAAAAAUAAAGAAUAAAAUAAAAUAAAAUAAAAAUAUCAUUUUAUUUAAAAAAAAUAUCCUUAAAAGUAAUUUUAUUUUAUUUAUUCUAUUUUAUUUUAUUUUACGAAUAAAUUUAUUUUAAAAUGAAUAAAAAUAAAAAAAUAAAAAAUUUAUUUGGUAAAACACUCAAGGAAAAUAAAAAUAAAUUUAUUAAAUCUAUUUUUAAUAAAAAAAUUUAUUAAAUCUAUUUUUAAUACAAAUAAAUUAUUUUUAUUUAUCAUAAAUAAAUGAUUUUUAAUAAAUUUAUUUUUAAUAAACUAAAAAUAAAAUGAUAAAUAAAAAUAAUUUAUUUAUUUUUAAUUAAAUUAUUAAAAUAAUUUUUUUUAUUUUUAAAUGAAUAAUAUUAAUAUAUUUAUUUUUAUUUUUAAUAAAAUGAGAAGAGGCGGAGGAGGAGGAGGAGGCAGCGACGUAGAGGAGAUGAGGGAGGACUCACCGAAAUUAGGGUUUAGUUGUGGAAAAUAUUUCUGAUUUCUCUUCCAAAUCAAUUUCUGAAAUAGAAAUCUAUUCCAGAAAUAGAAAAACUGAAUAAGUUUAUCAAAUAAGUUUCUAUUCCAGAAACAGGUUUGGAUUAGAAAAAAAAAUUUAGAACAGAAAUUUUGGUUAUCAUGCACCCCUUAGUGUAUUUAUUUGAUUAUAAUCUUCAUUUUGCUUAUUAAAGUUCUCAAAAUAUUUGAGGCUUUCCCCGUAAGUCUGCUCAAUCUUUCUUCAGCUCUUCAUUUCAGCUAUAGGCCAUACCAUGUCCGCGCCUUUCUUUUUCGUCAUUCUUCUAUCAAAAUUGCAAGUGUAGAAAGUGUUUUUCCGUCGAGAAAGCAACGAGAAAAUGUGUAGAAAGAGUGCACCUGCAGCUCAUAUCUCAUCACCAACUCCACCUCUUCUUUAGUGAUUUUUCAUGCCAUCUUUUUCCCGGAAUUUUUUUUUUUUAUGAUUACUUUUCUAUCGAUGGCGGGGCAACGGAGUUUGACUUCUUUUUUUAUAGUGCCUAUUCUCACUCUACCAAAAUAAGAAUAUAGAAAGUUCUCCAUUAUCUUCAUAUAAUAGUCGAUGAAAAGGAAUUAAAGUUCUCCAUUUUGAAUUUUCUGUGCUUAAAGAAAAAUUCCACGAUUAUAGAUACACAACAAAAAUAGCAUAUACUAAUUUGAAAUAUCUUACAACAUAUAUCUGGACACAUCACUCAACAAAAGAAAACAAAAAAAACUUAAGAGAAAUCUUUAUCUUCAACCCCUAAAUCAGGUUCGACCAAAAAAAUAAAAACCCUUAAAUCAGGGAGAAGAAGGGGAAAAUAAAACCCUCCCCUUCCAAGGCGAAAAAAGAGUUACCAAUUCCAAUUGUAUCCGACUUUGUAAUUGCUCUACACACUUUUAAAUCCAACCCUAAUUCCAAACACCUAGGCUGCAGAUGGGGCUGUCAUGAAGCGGAAAGCUCCGGCCGUCUCCAAGACCUUGCGACGAUAUGCUUGUAGUCCAAGGACUACAGAAGUCAAACUAAAUUUCCACACCUACUCUUCAUAUCACAACCAGCUGAAGAAAACGAGGAAACUCCCUUCCAAUCAAAACCGGGCAUCAAAAAGAGCCGUCAUUGGGUCGGAUCAUUAGUUGAUCCCAACAAAUCCGAAAUCUCCUGUACAGCGACCCCGCUCACCACCCCGCCCAUCAGCCUCUGCAGGAAGUUCCCGCCGGAUACCGGCGGUGGGGCUGCACAUCCGUGUCCUGCCAGAAGAUGCGCGUGUGCCGGCGGCCUAUUACCAGAUGCAAGGAUGCUCACCACAUGUGCGGCCAGAGAAAAUGGUGCUGCCCAGGUCGGUGUUGUUGGGUACGCGGCAGGCAGCGGUGGGGCUGCGUACUGGUUUCCUGCCUGGGGAUAAGCGUGUGCGGACAGCGGAUGACCAUUUGUGGGCACGACGUUCGCCAGAUGUGCGGGCUGAGUGUACGGCUCUGCCGUGGGCGGUGGUGGCGGGUAUUCGGCAGGCGGCAGUGGGGCUGGGUUCCAGUGACCUGCUGGCAGAUGCGGUGUAUAACCAUACGUGUUCACCCCAUAUGCCGUCGCAGUGUAUGCGGCAGGCGGCGGUGGGGCUGGGUUCCCGUGACCUGCUGGCAGAUGCGCGUGUGCCGGCGGCUGAUAACCAUACGUGGGCACGGCGUUCGCCGGAUGUGCCGUCUGAGUGUACGGCGCUGCCCCAGGCAUUGGGGGUGGGUAUGCGGCAGGCGGCAGUGGGGCUGGGUUCCCGUGACCUGCUGGCAGAUGCACGUGUGCCGGCGGCUGAUAACCAUACGUGGGCACGGCGUUCGCCGGAUGUGCCGUCAGAGUGUACGGCGCUGCCCCAGGCAUCGGGGGUGGGUAUGCGGCAGGCGGGGCUGCUGCAGGUGGAUAAUCCGUGGCUGGCUUGUCCGCCGACGGCGGUGGUCCUGUCCCGGGCGCUGGUGGUGGGUACGAGGGAGCCGAAACUGAGGCAGGCAGCACUGGAUAGCCCAUGACUGGCAUGCCCACUGACGGCGCUGCGAUGAGGAACUGCUGGCGUAACUCGUAAGAGAAGUUGAGAACGGCCACGGUCUCCUGGGAUGACGACCUCACUUCAAGGCCUAUCACCUCCGGCUUCACACCGGUGGCGCCCAUUCCGAGCAGAUCUCUGACUUGCACAUCGAUCUCGCCGAUGGUCUUCUUGUAGACGCUCAUGCACUUGUACUUGAUCUUGAACUUGAGGUAGCUGGUGUGAACCGCGGCCUCAUUGACGUCGAAGGAGAAGGUGUGACCCGACCAGGGGUUCAUGCUGCCUUUCUCAGGGACGGGGGCGUGCUGCUUCUGGUCGCCGGAGAGAGAGACGGUGAGGUAGACAUCGUGGGGCUUGAGGAGCUUGGCCGAGAUGAUGGUUAUCUCGAGUUUCCAGACACCCAUCUCUGCGCCUGAGGAUGAUUUUUGAACAACUUGAAGCGGUUUUGACUUUUGAGCAGGAGGGAGAGGAGAGGGAGCAAAAGAACCGAGGAGACGAGGAGCAGUGCAGAGAGGGAGAGAGAGUGUGCCUCGGGAGCGAUUGAGACGGAAGCGCGGGACGAGAGGGGAUAUAAAUAGCCAGGUCGAGCUGGGCCCGGUCGCGUGACUGGAGGAGGACAAGGCGGGGGCGGUACAUAAAGCAGGUCGAACGCGGGAUCAAUAAGCACGCGACUGGCCCACUCCCCACUUUUUUCUCCCUACUUAAGCCAGAAGAAAUCCCUAAUUAAUCUCCGCUUCGCUCUUUGGAAUGAUUUGGUCCAGGACCAAGUAGAGAUUAACACAAACGAAAUCAUUAUUUUUCUCUACUUGAGGGGCCCCCUCUCCCCACUUCUUUCUGGAUCGUGAUCCCUACAUGAUUCACAUGCUCCCAAUAACUAGAUCAACACGAGUCUAUUCCAUGCUCUUAAUAAUCGGAAACUUUGGACCGAGUCUAUCCCAUGUUUUCAAUAACUAGGUAAUUUGGAUCAAGUAGGGAUCACAAAUGAUUGGAACAAUUUCUCCCCUCAGCUGGAGAAGGCGAUGGGUUGGAUCCAUUAGGUGCGCAUUACCAGUUGCGUUGUUGGGAACGAGAGUGCCGAGGGGAAGAGAGAGAGAGAGAGAGAGAGAGAGCCAUGACCGGUGCCGCUGUAGAGGCAUUGUCGAGUAUUUUGGGAUCAGUUAAUGAUUUCGGACCCGAUGAUGGGUCUUUUCCGAUGCCUGGUUUUGAGUGAAAGUGACUUUUCUUGUUUUUCUUCGGCUGAAGAGUCAGUUAAAGUACACCGGAUACGUAUUUUGUCGCCCAUGUAUCUGUUUUGACUUUUGGGCCUUCCAGAAGGAUUUGACGAUCUUGUCGUUGGAGCUCCCAAACGACUCCGUUUAAGGAGAACUAGCCGAGAUUCGUCCCCCCUGGACAGGAAAAAAUCUUUGGUCUGUCGGAAUGAGACUUCUAGACGCAGGCAGCCUUCAUCCCUUGUCACGAUCAUAAGAAUCACCAAAUUAGGUCACGCAAAAAAAUAUAACAUUUCUAAAAAUUAAUUUUCAGAAAAAUGUCUAUUUUUUUCUGUAUUUAACUAAAACCUGAAUAAAGAUUGAAAAAUAGUUUCCUGCCGUUUGAUAUGAAAAACAUAAAAUGCCAUUCUAGAGUGAGCUAUUAAGUCUUUGAACUGCCAUUGACAUCUUUGUCAAUUUGGAAAAAUAGGGUUUGCUUUAGCUCCACCAAAAAGAUCGAAGUCCACGUGGGGGGUCAGUGCCGGUUGAUGGUCCUCGUCGUGAUUUGGUCUCAAGACUAAAGCAAUCCCGACAAGUACAAAUGUCUGAAUUAUUUCCUGUGAAAUCACGACAACAUCGAACCCUAUUUGUCAAAUAAAAUACAACUCUCGAUUACUUAUUUUAAUUAACUAGUCAAUUGGGCCAAAUUUUGAAGCAAAAAUCACUUUGGUACUUCCCUAGUAAUUAAUUAGGCGAGACUUGACCGAGAGGAUUUAAUUGUAUUUUCCCUCAAAAACUUAGGACUAAGUUCGUGUCACGGAAGGCCUUAGGUAAAUCAAUUUUAGAAAACAUCAUUUGUGCAGAUUUGGUAAAUUAUCAGUCGCAUGCCAUCCAAUCUAUGUUUGUUUAAUGAUAUUUUACUAAAAAAAGGCAAAUAUCCAUGAAGAAGAGUGACUAAAACUAAAAUAGAACGCACGACUCCACAUAAUGUGCACAUGGCACAUUGUGCAAGCUUAGCGAAGAUCCUGGGUAAUAAAUUAUAGAAUACAUUAUUUGUAGAUUUGGUACAAAGAAUGUUCUUUUGUCUUAAUUUUUUGUUUGAUUGCCAAUAAUGGUUAUUAAAUAUGACUGUCUCCUCUGCGAAUAAUACAUCCGUGAUUACCCAAGAACAAAAAUUCGUAUCUACCGGAGGUGCCUUCAAGAGAACGUCCCAAUGCGAUAAUCGAAACUCAGAUCCUAAGAGAAAGAGAUGGAUGCAUAUUUUGCCACUCGAGUUCGGCAGCUUUCCGGAAAAGGAAGAAGGGCAACAAAAGUGAGUGGAUGGUAAAGAAAGAUUUGAAACUCAGAUCCUAGGAGAAAGAGAUAGAUGCAUAUUUUGCCACCCGAACGACACUCGAGUUCGGCAGCUUUCUGGAAAAGGAGGAAGGGGAACAAAAAGCAAGUGCGGAAAGUAAAGAAAGAUUUUAAACUCACGAAAAAAUUUCUUUCUGGGGCAAUUUUUGGCACAAGUAGGAUAAAAAGAUGAAGAAGGAAAGGGCAAAAUAAUGGUUGAAAAUGAAAGAGAAGGAAGACUGACGAAAGGUAGCUUAGUAAGCUCUCUUUAAGUAUUUUAAUCGUCUCGAUCCGUGGAGAGCUUAGGAACAAGGAGAGCUUGAUAACUAAUGGCCUAAUUCCAAAAAAUAAAAAAGCACCAAUUCUAUUUUGAGUGAUAAUUUUAGCCUAAUUUUUUUUCUUAUCUCUCAAAAAAUCACCAAUUUCACUUAUAUCACAAAUCUGGCUCGUUGACUUAGAAUCUUUAUUGUCUAAUGUGACUAUUCCACCUCAGCAAUAGAUUCACAUUGCUUGCUAGCUAGCUAGAUUUAAAGCACUAUUCAUAGUCUUCUUUUCUAAGCCACAAUUUGAAGAAUAACGGUGAAACUAUUUACAGUCUCAUUCACUUCACCAGCAAGUAAAAAAAAAAAUCUCUAGAUUGAAUCUCUCUAACUUUUACCAUUUUGUCAUCAUUUGGAAUUGUGGACCACUACUUGUCAAGAGACGCCAUGGAUGAGAUUUGCCAAAAUCACACGACUAGAACCCUUUUUUUUUUUUUUUGCUUUAAACAAGCCCAAGCCCUCCCCUCAAAACUUCAAAGUUUACUUCGAUGGAGAUUAAUCAAUCAAUCUCAUUAAAUAUAUCAGGCUAUAGUGGUGAGAAUUAAUGAAUUGAUUUUGUUGGGAAGUAUUUGUGUCCUACCAAACUAUUGUUAAGAUUGUAAGAGUUGGCUAACGGAGGCUAUAUUUGGUAAUUGAGUAAAAGUUGGUGAUUUCUAUUGUGAUGAAAAAUAUGAAGAAGAAGAUUAGCUUCAAAAUUAUCACUCAAAGUCAAAGUGAAGUCGAUACUUUUUUGGUUUUUGGUUGAAUUAGCCCGCAAACUAAGAUACUUAUUUCGUGGGCAAAAAUAUAAAUAUUCUUUUUUAAAAGUUAAAAGUGCCGCAACAUCAUUAAUAUCGUGGGACCUCUGCAGCAGUAGGUAGUGGCACUUCGGCUCCGUUCACACCUUGUCUCAACGUGGCGUCGAGCCAUCAGACAGCUCCAGAAAACCACUAGAUAACGCAACUAGCGCACCCGUCGUUUGUACUUAAUGGCUGAAUUAGCGGUUUUCAUCCGUUCACUGGAUCGAGAUGAGGCCUCGGGGGUCGCACGUUCAUUUCGUUUUCAACCUUGAACCUCGCGCCACUUUCCACGAUCCACCAAGUGCCCUCGGCCAAACCCUUCUUUUUGUGGGGAAGCUCAUCCUCGUCGUCAUCAUCAUCAUGCAUUAUUUCCUUUCUUUCAACAGGAGCGAACGCAGGCAAGUACGAGUAAAAAAUAGGGUUAAUACUUUAAAAAAUCCUCAAUAAGUACACUGGUGAUAAAUUUACCUAAAAUUAUUUUUUUGAUCACCAAAAACCUCAAACUGAUAUACAUUUAACAAAUUUACCCAAAACUGGUACAUUUGUGAUAAAUUUGCCCUCUGUUGGUUUUCGUUAAAUUUUAUUAUCAAAUUAUUAAGUUAAAUGACAUGUGACAGUUGACCGGUAUAUCAAUUUAGGAUUUUACACUUUGUUUGUCAUCGUUUACAAUUUUUAUGAUUUUUUUGUGGUAUUAAUCUAAUUUAGCAUAGGGUAUAUUUGUUACAAAUUUACCAUUUUGAGAUUUUUUACAGUCAAAUAAAUUAGUCUGGGGUAAAAUUGUCAUAAAUGUACCAAUUUAAGAUUUUUUAUAGUUAGUCGGGGUAAAUUUGUCACAUGUAUAUCAAUUUGGGGUUUUUCAUGGUAAAAAAAAUAGUUUGGGAUAAAUUUGUCACAAAUGUACCAGUUUGGGGGUUUUUCAGGGUAUUAACUCUAAAGAAAAAAACAAAUGGGGGGCUGAAUGACGGUGAUCUUUAGGCCCUGCGCGUGACAUGUGCCGCCUGAGCGCAGUUGGUGGCUCGACUUUUGCUUUGCUCCCGGGCUUCGCACGAAGUUCUAAAAAUUCUAACGGCUUCAGAUAAUUUGGAAACUGUUAGAGAGCGUCCUCUGUCAUGCUCAGGAAAUAAAUAUUUUUACUUAUACCUAUUUUACAUUCUUUCAAAUACAUAUAUAUUUUCCCAAUUUUCAGGUGCUGUGAUCUCAAUUAGCAUCCCAAGGCAUAUCGUGAUUGAAAAUUGUAUGUCUUUACUUAACCUACACAUUUUGUUGUAAAUAAAAGAUCUCAUCAUAAAUCCAUUUUGACCUUAAAAUUAUAUAAUAAUAGAAAUAGUAACCCUAGUCACCAUCUCUACAUCCAUUUUACCAAAUCACAAAUACAUCGAUUUGUAAUUAAACAAAAAAAUGGCCCGACUAAUUAACCAGGCCAAGCCAUGGAAAUAAAAAAAGCCCGUUCAUCUAAAGAGAUAUUCUUGACUUUCUCUUUGAAAUGUCUCUUUACAAUCUUUUCUUUAUCAACAGUAAUAUUAAAAAAUAAAUAAGAGAGAUAAAGAAAAGAUUUUUUUUUCAAGCCUUACUUUUUGUGUAAUAUAAGAUGGUAAUUAUCCAUUUUCAAUUGGGAAAGAUCAUAUUGCUAAUCCGUUGUACGAGUUUUUCGUACCGAGGGUUUGGAUCUCUCUUUUCGUUUCCGUUCAUGACUUGGUAUUUUAUUUAUUUCUUUUUAAAACCUUUCCUUUUGUUUUUGUUUUUUAUUUAAUAUAAUAGAUAAGGAUGUUCAACAAAUAAAAUCCUAAGUAAGAACAUUGAAAAAUUAAGCAAGUAAAAAAAAAGGCCUUUUUAGUUCUUCACAUCCAAGAUGAUUAGAUAGGAAUCCAAAUAUGAAGAUAGAAACAGAAAUAUCAGUCUCAUAUAAAAGAUUAUGAUAACAUAAAGACAAAAAAAAAAAAAAUUCCACGUCAAAAGGAUCGUCAUGGCGUGGAGACACAAUGUAUUCAGCUCCUAAUACGAUGAAGUUGAAUUCAUUACACGUAUACACAACUCGGGCUCUUCAUCGAUGACGGAGCUAAAAAUAUUUUGACUCCGUUUUGUACAUCUGCUAAUCUUUUUCCGUUCAUCUUAAAUCCAUAAGGAAAUUUUACGGUCCCUCUCGAGAACUAUCCUGUGGAAACCAGAUUAUAUUCGAGUUCACUCUCCGCUCAAGCAUAUUCCAUUCAUCGCAAUACCAACCUGGUUCACCGUGGGAAUUUACUCCUCGCUAGAAAUGGAUAGCACACCAGUUCGCGACGCGGUCUGAGAAAAAUGGUAAAAAGUCUAGCUUCGUGUCAUGGGCUAGCAAUUGUUUGACCGCAGAAUAGCACGUGCGGUGCCAAUUGAACCGAGAAUAAACCAGGCCGACCUCACUCCUGUCCGUGACAUUCGCGUGUGAGACUGCCAGACUAAACUCUUAAGAAAGAAGAACAGCACCCAAACCAACCACCCUCUCCCUGCAACCAUGGGAACUGCUCCUUUCUUUAAUUUUUUUUGGGUGAUCGUAAACUAAACGAAGCUGUGGAUGUUUAAAUUUUUCCCCUAUUGACUAAGAUUUAUCAGCAUGUUCGAUUGAAGAUUGUGAUAUGCCAAAGCAUAGAUUGUUUGAAUACGAAAUUUUCGAGGAAAAGGUCAAGUAUCAAUCUAAAUAAAAGCUAUUCAUGUUCCCAUUUCAAGUAGGGGUGAGUAUGGUCCAAGUUGGACUACUCUGCCCUAUAAACCUAGGACCAACCCGCACAAUAUUGGUUCUCAAUUUUUGGGAUCGAGAACCGACCCUAUUGAGCCUAAGACUAAGGACCAGACCAACCCAAUAAGUUUGGUUUAGUCUGGUUCCAAGAUUAACCCAGGAUUGAUCAAUAAUUUUUUUUGUUUCAUUUUUUGUACUUCUUAAAAAGGCAACCGAAGACUGGAUUAACCCAAUGGGUUUGGCAUCGAGCGAAAUCAAUGAAGAGAGGCGAGCGAUGAGUGUCGAGUGGGGCUAGCAUCGAGCAGUGAGUGGCACAAGAGACUAGAAGCAAGGGAGAUGAGUGUCGAGCGACGAGCAAGAAAGUUGUUUCCUUCGAUUUUGGCAAAUUGAAAAUUAAGAGGACAAAUAAGAUAUAAGAGAACGAUUACUGGAGGAGGAAACCGUGAGGAGCUAUUUAUGCCGUUUUAAAUGUCAUGAGGACUCCUCACAAAUACAUUUUCCUCAUUUGUAAAUAUGGUUGUCGAUGCCGUAAAAAACAUUAAAAGUCUAAGCUAUUGAAGAACAAUAUAAAAUUAUUUAAAACUCCUCACUAAGGAGUCAUUGAAUGCUAUUGAUAUCAUUUGACUUAGGGUUUUCUCUAUAUAAAUAUAUAUAUAUAUAUAUAUAUAAUAUAUUAGAUAUAUUAUAUAUUAUAUACAGUUAGGGUUGGUCCGGGUUAGACCGACCCUAAACUCCCAGGACCGAGACCAACAUGCACAGUGUUAGUUUAAGGAUCUCAAGACUAGGGUUCAAUCCAGUCCCCUUAGCCUUAGGAACCAGAUUAGAACCGGGAGGGUUGGGCCGCUCAGGGGUUGUCCCUAAAUCAAUACUCACUCUUAAUUUCAAUGCCAUUUGCAUUUCGGAAAUAAUUUUUGCCAUGCACACCUAUGUUUUUUUUUCUUUUUUUGAACUUAUGUUUAUGAUGGUUUUGCGGUUUUCGAUGAUUUAGUGUACAUGUGCAAUUGAAAAGAGCGUCGUACACGUCAAAAGGAGCGUCGUAACAUAAAGACAUAAAAGAACCACCGGGAUUCGCCCCAGUGGCCACCCUUUCAACAUGGAAGGGGGAGAUGAGGGGUUCAAAUACCCACCUUUUCAGGAGGAAUGAGGUGGGGAUGAGUAAGUUUCAGGAGUGGGUUUUCGACUCCCACGCCCUGCAAGAGGCAGGGCAAAAGUCUGAAAGUGAGUGUAGAGUAGGCAUAGAGUAGGACUGACAAAAAAAAAAAACAUAAAGACAUAAAAGAUAACAUGAAAACAUAACGAGAACAUGAUAAUUUCUGCCAUGUGCACCUUUUUUUUUCUUUUUUUUACCUUAUUUUUAGACAACUCUUUGGCUUUUGAUGGUUUGUCUUCCUAACAUUUAUUUAGGCUUCGUUUGUUUUAUGAAAAACAACUUUCAAGAAAAUAUUUUUCAAAUUUUUGGUAUUUGUUUUACGAAAAAUGAAUUAAUCUAGGAAAAAAAUUUCCAUUAGUAAAAAAAGUCUUCUAAAAUAAAGAAAGAUAUUUUCCAUUUUUCAAAAUGAGAAAAACAUUUUUCUCAUUCACUUUUUCUUACCUUACACCCAUGUUAACAUUUCCAUCUUUCCUUUUUUUUUUUUGCUUUUUAAAAAAUCAAAAUUUUAAUUCUUUUUCUUUUUCUUCUUUCUUUUAUUUUUAUUUAUUUUUCUUAUAUCUUGGCCCAUUGCCGACCACGACAAUCGCCAAUGACUGGCUAUAGGCGAGCUGAGCUCCCUAGCCUCCAGUGAGCUUGAGGCUCACCGACCUCAAGUGAGAUGCAAUCUUGCCACUCGCCAGAUUGACGAGCAAGGUGAGUGGCAAGCUAGGGCUGGAGGCUCGCUUGAUCAAUAGUGAGCCAGGUGCAGCGAGCUCGGGCCUUAGCGGCGAGCUUGAGUGAGCUAGAGCUCGCCUUCAGCCAAUUUCCAUAUAAGAAGAAAGAAAAUAAAAAUAAAAAAUAUAUUUUAAAAAAAUUAUUGAAAAAUUAGUGCAAGGAGAAAAGCAGUUUCCUUAUUGAAUAGCAAAAAAUGUUAUCCGCUCUAUUUUCAAAUUUUAGCCGAACUUCGAAAAUUAAAUAUAUUUUCCUGAAAAAUGACUUUCCGGGAAAUAUUUUUCAGAAAUAUCAUAUUUUUCGUAAAACGAAUAAAGCCCUAAUAAUUUCAUUUUCCGUGGACUGACUUUAUUUGAUUUUGACUUCGAGGAAAAGAAUACAGAACGAGCAGUUCCCAUGGUUGCAGAAGAUUGGAAAGAUUCAUUUCGUCACAUUAACUGAAAAGUGAAAAAGUGAACUUGUUUUUCUCUAACCCAAAAGCAAAAACAAAAGCGUCGAAAAUUCCCUUUGUGUGGCUGCGGUUACGUGAACAGUUGCACAAAGCAGUCGUCCAAAAUUGACCGUCAAACAAAGCUUCCUUUGAGGCCCCGUUCGGCAAUGGCUAAUUAUUGACUAUCUAUAUUCUUUUUUUCUCUCGAACAACAAAAAGAACAUAAAUCUAUUUCAUAACGUUACUUAACUUUUUAAUUCCCAAGAACAGUUUAGUGAUUGGUAAAUAGAUUUGAAACAUAAGCAAGAACUAAAAAGAAAUUACUUCUUUAAUUUCAGAAACAAUUUAUGAAAUUAAGUAAAUUUCUUUUCUUCUUCUUUCUCCUCUAAUCAGUUGCUGAGCUCAAUAAUGAUUGAUGACUAGCUAGAGACAAGGCCUCGUUGUGGUUGGGUGAGGUCGGCCUUGUGUUGGCUAGGUGAGUGAGAUUGAGCCUUGCCUAGCCACCGGUAAUGCUCAACCUCGCCUAGCCACUGUGAGGUUGGCCUCGUCAUGACUAGGUGAAGUUGAGCCUCCCUUGAGGCCGGUGAGGUUGCUAGCUCUUGACUCUAACUGAUCACUUGCCGUGACCAAGGCCCAACGACUGGUUAGGAGAAAGAAGAAAAAAAGAAAAGAAAAAAUCUCAAAAAAUUACUAAAAAAUUAAAAGAAAUUCUACGUCAUAAAAAAGUUUGAAAGUCAUACUAAACGCAUUGAUAUUCUUUUUCUAUUCCAAGUAUAGAAAUUUUGUAUGGUUACCGAAUAUGUUCGAAUGCUAAAAAACUCGUCUAUGGAACAAAAUUUUAAAAAAAUAUAUAUUUUGAGCAAAAAUUAUUCUUAGAAAUAGAAUAAUUAUCAAAUACACCCUUAACUGAUGGUUUAUUCAAUAGAUCUUGGAUCAAGUCAUGCUUCUUCACUCUAGAACAAGCUUUGUUAAAAGAAAGAUUCAUUAACACAAGACAUGCAACACAUUCAAGAACUAAAACUGAAUUUAACCCAACCACUUGGUAAGGUUGGGAAAACGUAACUCAUUGUCUUGCUACUUCUCAAUCGCAAUAGUCGUUACUUCAUGUUUCCCCCUCUUAUACUAUUCGUUCUCAAAGUGAUUCGAGACUUCGAUUUUGCAAUGACAGUUUUUACUUGGGAUUGAUCGAGGGCGGGGUCGAACGUUGGUCUGCCGUGGUUACCUAUUUCAAAUUCACGGAACUAUGAGCUCUAAAAGACACUGUUUACAAUUUUCCAGAUGAAGUACUCGAGGGAAAAUUGUUCUGACGUGUUUACAAUUUUCCAGAUGAAGUACUCGAGGCAACAUAAAUUCACUGUAGCAAAAAACUGAAAAGAUGGGUUACGGUGAGCUAAUCCAUAAAUGAGUUUUAAUUGUAUCUGACAAUGGAGCUAGGCCCAGUGAAAACAGACCAUCAUGAUUUAAAUGCCUCGAGAUUUUGGGGGCAGGAUAUUAUCUACCUUCAUACACUUGAAAUUAGGGGUGAGCAUGAUUCCCAGGUAGAACCGGGAACCGGAGAACCAAACCGCAGGGUCCGAUUCAAUUCCCGAUUCUAAGGGGACCAGUUAUGAUUCCCUGUUCUAUUUUCUUGGAACCGGAACCGGCCAAGUUAAAAGAAAAAACCCUAACCCCCCACGUGAUUUUAUUUUCUCCCCUUCCGCCGAUUCUUCCCCCCUUUUCCCUUUCUUUUCUCCUGUUUUUCCUCUUCACAUCACUUCCUGCCUCCCCCAAACUUUUUUCUUUUCUUCUCUCUCUCUCUUCUCUUUCCCCCUCUCUAGGCCGAAAUCCACCCCCUUCUUCUUCUUCUUCUUCUUCCAUCUUCUCUUUUUGAGGGGUUCCUUUUUGGCCGAGGGAGAGAGGGACCAAGCAAGGGAGAGCAACAGAGAGAGGAAAAGCAAGGGGGUUCUGGUUUUUCCGUAGAUUUUGGGCUGAGAGAGAGAUGAGCUCGAGGGAGAGAGACCGAGAAGGAGAGUUCCGUGCGACUGAGGGAGAGCCGGAGAGGUUCAGCCGUGCAUGGGCUCGGUUAGAGAGUGAGACCAAGAGAGAGACCAAGGGAGUGAGAGAGAGUGAGUAGUCCGCUUCGUCUGUGUGAGAAAGAAGUAAGAGACUCGCGUCACCGGAGGCUAGCCCACCGACCACCGCCCACCACAGCACCGCGCUGGCCCAGGUAGGCCUUUCUUCAUCUGUGCGUACCUUGUUUUGGGCAUGCGGGGUCUAAGUUUGCGGCCGUUCAACUUAUAUGAACCCCAGCCCUGCUGGUUCUCCGUUGAUGCUGAUGUGCAUUCUGGUACGCUUGUUGUGUGUGCUAGUAUGCCUAUAAAGAGUCUUUGUUCGGGCUUAAGCAAGGGUGAGCACUUGGGAACUAGAGAACCGAACCGGACCCUCCUAUUCUAUGCCUCUGCCCGUUGCCGACACCACUUGCCCUCGACACCGCCGCUGGACGCCGCCGCCGGACGCCGUUCGCCCUCGACGUUGCCGCCAGACGCUAGUCGCCUCGCGCUCGUCUCGCCCUUGCCUCCUGCUCCCUCAACGCUGUCACCCCUCGCUUGCCGUCGAUGCCGCCAGUGGACGCCGCUCGUCCCCUCGGUGGCACCUUCGUGCACAUAUAAUCUUCUUAACGCAACAAUAUACACCUUGAUGAAUGACAGGAAAAUGUAAGGUUAGAUAUCAGUAGCUAACCCACUGCACAUUCUGGAAUUCCCACUAUCAUAUGUCACUCUUGUAGCAUUUCUUCUCUAAUUGGCUUGUUAACAACUUUCCCAUCGAUUGAUGAAUAGGGUGCCCAACUUGCUGAUCACGAAGGGAAAAGUGCAGCAACUUUAGCGACUUGCCGAACUUUGGCUGAAGAACUCACAAAAUCACGAUUUCUAGCUCCUAGAAUAUUGGCAUUUAAGGUUUCUCCUCCUUCACACUUUUAAUGUUUAAUUUGUUUUAUGUUAUUCACGUGAUGAGAUGCUCGUAUUGGUUUUCCUGUUCAAUUUGUCUUAUGUUAUUCACGUGAUGAGAUGCUCAUAUUGGUUUUCCUGUUCAACAGAAGGGAAGCUGUACAUAGUGAAUGAGAAGAAUGAUUCUAAAUCAAGGGUGAGUUUUUUUUUGGUGCUUUUAACUCUUUUACACACUCAAAAUGUUUAUUUUCUGCGUGUGUUAUAGUAAUUGAGUUUAGUGAUCUGCUGGCUAACUCAUUGGUUGCUACUAACUCAUAUUAUCAUCAGUCAUAGAUGUCUUAGAAGUCAUCAUGUGACAACUCGCUUACAUGUAUAAACAUGUUGCAUCAGAUGUCCCUGAAUGGCCAAUAGAAAAUGUCAAUUCUGGGACAGUAGAUUGAUUAAUUUUAAGCUGUGUUCUUGUUGUCUAAACAUCUACUAUAACACCAGCAAAAUUUUUUUUGGCAAAAAAAGAAUUAACCAGUGAAGCUUUUGUUAUACGUCAAAUAUGUACAGUAGAUAGAGAACAGAGAGAGUCCUCAUUGGUUCGGCAAAAUCAUCAGUGGAGAAGCCAAUUGCCUACUCACAGUACAUUUACUGUAAUUUUUCAUUGCAGUUCAGAGAAAAUCUUGUACUUCAAUCUCUCUUUAGUUUUCUCAUAUCCUAAUAUGUUUGCUACAAUAAUGCCUCGAGCUGUUCUUUCGUGUGAAAUCAGAAAUGGCUGCAAAUAGUUUAUAGUUAUGAUGAUAAUUAAUAUCUUUUACUUCAGCAGGAGAUCAUACUUCAAGGUUUAAGAUGACAUGUUUAUGGUUUUGUUGUCUAAUUUGGAUUAAAAAUGUUUUGAUAGGGUUCAAAGUCUAUAUCCAUAUUGGACGGUCUAAUUGCUGGUAACACAGAGAAAAUUCCUCCAUCACCAGUUAUCAAGCAACUGGCUGUGGCCGUAGAGUAAGUCUUUAUUAUCUACAAGAUAGCCAUUAUAACUUUUAGCUUUGUAUAUUUCUUCUAUCACUUAGACAUCUUUGGAAACUUUUCCCAGGAAUGGGAAGAAAUUUAGCUCAAUGAAAGGUUUUCUGGCAACAAACAAAGGUUCUUCUCCUAUCAAGGAAAGGGCAGGACUAAGUCUUGUCGCGACCCAAUUUUUUCGGGGGUGUGAACCACCUAGGGUUUGGCUAAUGGAUUGUUAAGCCUAGACUUAACUCGGGCUCUCCCAAGCCCAUGCCAAUUCGCGACUUAGGUUUAAAUUCUUAAUAUACAAAUCAUUUUCAAUUAGGAGUCGCCACUAAUCUAUUUUUUUUGGUGGGUCGAUUAGAAAUCCAAAUAAAGUAACGGGAGAUUUACUUUAUUCCUACGAACCAGAGAUUUGGGUACGGGGACUUGGUUACGCUAAAUUUCUCUAACGCCCUUUCGGUACCUUUCUUUUUAUUUUGAAAAAUGUUUGGCAAGCAGUUUGGAUUGAUUUUAAAUCUAUUUUCCUAACAUGUGAGGUGGUCAUGCGGGUGCACAAUCCAUCAAUUUAACACCCAAUAAAGCAAAUAGAAAAUGCAGGACUUACCUCGUAGCAACAAAAGCAUCUGCAAUGUUAAUUCAAAAUCCACAUCAACAACCUUGGAUAUGGUUUCUAAUUAACACGCAAAUUCUCUUUUUUUUGUUUUCACUUAUUUAAUGAAAAUUAUGCAAUAUGCGAUGCAAUAUUAACUAGAUAACCUAACUCUAAUGACAUGUAACUUCUAGUUGAAUGGGCCUAGCAACAAUACUAAAUGACAUGCAUUUCAAUGAAUCUAACCCUAAUGACGUGCAUAUGACAUUUUUUUAAUUAAUUUUCGAGAUAAACAAAACAAUUAAGAGAUAACAAUCAAACCGUCCAUGAUCAUCAAAAACGCUAUCCACCAUUUGAAUUGAAAUUCAAACUUAAUUAUUUCGCUAAUAAAAUCGAUAAAUUGAUCUUAAGCCUUGAAGAUCAAGAUAUCAACUUUAUUCCCGCGUGAUUAAUUAUUCCAUCUAAAGCCUUAUAGAUGGAAUAAAAAAUUCAUGUGCGGUUGCGAAUUUGGCAAUAAAUCGUAAUUGGGAACAUGCCGAUAAUUCAAACAUACACGUAAGAUAUUGAAAAGCAUGCAUUAAGCAAUAAAAUAUCCAAAUCAAAUUUAGAUAAGACACUUACCUAAUUUUGCAAAUAAUAUUACCAAAUUUGAACUCAAUGGAAUUGGCUUGACGGAUGACUGGCGAUGGCUCGCUAUAUCGAGGGUCACUGCCCCAGGGUCAAUGGCAACGGUAGUGCUCGGCUCCUGAUCUCGAGGCAAGGCAGCGGCAGUGGGAGGCUCAGGGAGUCGUAGCUCACCCGAGGAAUUUGUGAAAUCAAACCUACAAAACAGAGAAACCGGCCCCCUUGGCUCGACACCGGAUCCAUAGUGACAGCGACAACAGCAACUCGAUUCGUCGGUGGAAGGAGCAGCGAACACGCUGAGACGUCUGUCUUGAUGUAGAACAGAUUAGAAUAAAAGCAGCAAUGGUGGCACGGGUGAGGCAGGUGGCGGUCAAUGAUGGAUCGGCGGCCGUGGGUGUUGAACUUGCACUUCACGCUUGAAGACCCCCACUGGAACAAGAUAACCCCACCCUUUAUAGUUUUUUUUUCUUCUUUCACGUGCUCUCUCCAUGCACCUCGUCAGAGGAAACCCCACCCUUUUGUUGACCUAUUGACCCAAAAACAUAAAAGAACUCUCCCUGCUCUCUUUUACGAAUCGUGUUCCCUUCACGUCUCUAUGAUGAGCGGGGGUUCGUCAAGAAGCAGCGAGCGUCUUGAGGGAAAAUUGAUGGCGCCAAUGUGCUUGGUUCGUCUCAAGGAACACCGGGCUUCGUCAAUGAGGCUUAGAUCAGAUCGGAUUUCGCCAAGGAGGGACAAGGUAGCUCUUCACGUUGUUGAUGUUGUGGGAAACUCCUCGGAUCAGCAAGAGGAGGAGUCGCAAUUCGUGGCACGGCGACAAAUUAGCAGCUGGGCCAGUGUUGUGUGCUAGGGUUCGAAGUGGGCUCGCCGCAGUGGUAUAGGAGCGGCAGCGAAAUCGUUGGUCGUCGAUAAUGGGGCUAAACAGCAGCGCGUCUUCUUUUCUGUGAAGGCAGACCACACUCCUCACUCUCUCAAUUGUGGCCGUAUGUUUUCAAUUGUGUCGCCUUCCCAAACAAAUUGCACGCGAGGUAUUAUAUAGGUCUAAAAAAUGUAUCUCUACGGCAUAUAUUUUUUCCUUUUUUGUUCGCGCAUGAUACCCCUAAAUAUAUCAUUGAAAUAUAUCCACCUUGUGCAAUAUUCCCCUUUUGUAUUUUUCACAUAUUCUAUCCAAAAUUUUCCUUUUCGUUCGAAAAUGCAUAAAUGUGUGAAGAUUCUGAACGGAAUAUGUGAAAAAUUUUGCACUCGCCGUCGAUCCAAUAAAAUAAACAAAAAUGUUCCUAAACUAUAUGCCAUAUGUGAUUUUAUUUUUUUAGGGAUAAAAUUAACCCCUAAUUUUUAAAUGUCUAAAUGGGUCGCCAAAAUUUAGGUGUCAACAAGUCUCUUUGCUGUGAGGUCGCUUGUGCUUUGUGAAAAGGAAGAUAAUGUAUCCGAGUUUCUAGAUGAAGUGAAGCUCUAUUCUUUCAUUAGUUUGCUGUUUGAUGUAGGUAAAUCAAUACUCAGAUUAUCAAAUUUACUAGUCCAUGAAAUAAUACUCAUCCAUUAUAAAAAAAUUAUCGGUUAUUUUUUAAAAUUAUCCUAUGAUGAUCUUUCACUUCGGUUGUAAUAUCUGCAAGAUAUUUGCAAGGGGAAAGUUUCUCAGAAGAAAAUCAGUUCUGGUUCAGAAACCACUGUUGCAACAUUGCCGAGAGAUAUUCGUGCAGCUCCACUUGAAAGCUUUGUUACUAAAGUUGUUGAAGUCAUUGGAAGCUGUAAAACAAUGAGGGAUAUGGCUUUGUUUUGGUGCAAGGUUGUUGCUAAGGUAAGGGACUUUGUGAAGUGAACCGCUGGACUUUGCAAAAGAGAAAUAGUUCACAUUUUAGAAUAUUAAAUGCUUAUGAGUAUUAUAGAUUGUGUUCGUGUUAUAUUUUCUUUGAUGAAUGACAAGUUUGUUUAUUAUUGCUACAUUCAUUUUCAUUUUUUUAAACUAAAAAAUAAAAAAAUAAUAAAAGAAAAAAGAACCUGUUGGAACCUGGAAUCAACCCCGGAACCUGUGACAGGGUAGAUUCCAGGUUCUUGAUUCUAACGGGUAGGUUUCAGAUUCCAAAAAAUGAGGAACCUGUACUUGAGAGUAGGUUCCAGGUUCCAAGCGAAACCUGUAAAGAACUGGGAACCGUUCACCCCUAUUUGAAAUAUAAGGCUAUGUUUACCGACUUGAACAUCUACAAGAGUCCUCGGGUUUGAUGUUUGAUAAUUCCCUCUGCCUUGGAAUUAGGAGGGCCAUAAGGCUUAAUAUAUUUAACAGCCCAUGCAGGAGCUUCAGCCCGUGCGGGUUCAACUUGCCGCAAAGCAGUCCAUGGUGUUCCAAACUUGAGGUACUUGCUGGUUCUAACUUCUUAGAAACUUUUUUUGAGCUGAAAUUGUUGCAACACCUCAACUAGUUAUGCCAACCAUGAGGAUUUUUGGAAAAUUAUUUUAACAUUAGCUUUUGACCAAUAAAUAUCUUCCAAGGGGAUGAAUCACAAUUGUUUAAAUAAAUCUGAUAAUUUUUCAGAUCAAAUCAUCUAUUUUCGGUAGGCUAAUUAAAUGAUUUUUACUUUACUAAAGUUUAGUUUCCCAAACAUAUUCAUUGUAUCUACACGCAAAACUUGGUGUCCAUUAAUUUGAUUGCAUUUUAUACGAAUAAAAUACUCGAGUGUAUACACUCGCCAUAUAGCCUAUACUCAAUCCAUUUUUGCUUGUUCUAAUUGGAUUGCAUUUUAAACAAAAAAAAAAAAAAUACUCAAGUGUAUAGACUCGCUAGACAGCCUAUACUCGAUCCCUUUCUGCUUGUUCUUUUUUUUUGUUCAAAUUUCCGCUUGUUCUCGCUCCUUGGCAUUUUAGAUAUUUCCCUUGGCGUCGAUGAGGAGCUCGACAGACCAGAUGGUGCGACUCCACGUGGGCGAGCGACAGGUGAGCACCACUGGAUCCUACGCUGUGGAGAGGGAAGCUUCCUUUCAAUUUCGUACAAGUUUUGGUAAAAAGGAGGAGUUUAUACUAUAAAUCGACUAGUAAAUGCCCACUGUUUAUUAUUUAACUACCACCCCACCGCCCAGCGCCGCCGUUAUUCUGCACAUUAUUUAUUUAUUUAUUUAUUUAUGGUCAGAGGCUCAGAGCACAUUAUUUAUCUUCUUCUUUUUCCCUCCUGGGGCUACGUUGCUGCGGCCCGACACGUGGCGAGCCCUUACACAUCUGUCAGGCUCUGCGGACUUGAAAUUGUGUACGGCGGGCUGCUCCCGUUCUUGUGGAGGUACCUAUUGAAGUGUCAUCUGCAGGCCUCAGAUUGCUCCUCAACAUUCCACGUGUCUACUCGUCGUUGGACUGAAGGGACACGUGGCGGAAAAGGGCAUCUUCUUGGGGGGUUUUCUUUUUCCAAUUCCUGUUAUGUUAGUUGGACCGAGAAGACACGGGGGAGCCUAUUUAUAUAAAUUUAGACUUUGUGGAUUGCCGUGGGUCUCUCUUUUCCCAUAAGAUUAAGAAAUGGGAUGAGCGAGCAUUGCAGGCUAACUUCACCGAGUUAGCAACACGAAAUUUUUUAACCAAUCUUCGAAAACUCAUACCUAACAAGGUAAGACUGCAUAGUAAGUGAAUGUGAAAGUGAGAGAGAACGAAAUAGGAGUUGUAGAGGCAAAUAUGUCUAAAUUAUAAACUAUUUAUAAUCAAUGUAGACUUUUUGGAUGGUCGUGGGUCCCUCUUUUCCAUAAAAUUAAGAAAGGGGAUGAGCAGGUAUUGCUGAGUUAUGUAGGCUAACUUUACCGAGUUAGCAACACGGAAAUUUUUUAUCCGAUCUUCAAAAACUCAUACCUAACGAGGUAAGACUGCAUAGAUAGUAAGCGAAUGUGAAUGUGAGAGAGAACGAAAUGGGAGCUAUAGUGGCAAAUUAUGUCUAAAUUAUAAACCUAUUUAUAAUCAAUUUAAUAUUUAUAUGGGAAAAAGUCAUCAAAAAUAUCAAAUUUUGUCCAAAAUGACAUUUAUUCUAAACUUUUUUUGUGAUACAAAAAACCUAAACUUUGCCAAUUAUGACAUAUUUACUCCAAACCUUUUUUUUUCGUGAAACAAAAAAUCCUAAAAUUUUAUCCAUGUAACACAUUUAACCUAAAAUAUAAGAUAUCUUCGUCUUUUGUUUUUAAAUUUAUUUUUCUUUUAUUUUCUUCUCUCUUCCCUUCGUCGACCAUGGUGAAGGGAAGCCAGACUCAAGCGAGGGCCACCUUUGCCAGCAUCAGGCAAGGGUCACCCUCACUUGGGUCGAGCGAGGACAACCCUCGCUGGAUCUGGCGAGGGCAUCCCUUGCUUGGGCUGUUGAGGGCCUAGGCAAGGGCCUAGGCGAGGGCCGCCCUCGCCUGCGUCGGGCAAGGGCUGCCCUUGUCGAAUUUGGCAAGGGUUGUCCUCACUUGAUGCUAGUGAGGGCGGCUCGACGCCUGAAUCUAGCUUCCCUCCGCCAUGGCCGAUGAAGGAAAGAGAGAAGAAGAAAAAAAAGGGAAAAAAAACAAAGAAAAGAAAAAGGAAAAACAGAAAGAGGAAAAAAUAAGAUGAAAAUGCCAUUUGAGGUAAAUGUGUCACGAUUAGUAAAGUUUAAGAUUUUUUGUAUAACAAAAAAAAAAAGUUCAGGAUAAAUUUGUCAUUAUGGACAAAAUUUGGGGGUUUUGGUGGUUCUUCCCUACUUAUAUUGUGUUUAAACCCAUUUAUAACACAUUUACUAAAUAUAACUAACAUAUUUAUAAUUCAUUUAACACUCAUAUGGGUUAAGAAAUGUUUUUAUGAUUUAUUUUGAUGGUUCUAACGACAGCCUUCGUCUCAUUAGUUAGGCCCAAUCUUCUCAAUUUGGUAGCAUGAAAUGGAACUCCUAGACUCAAUAAGUCUUUAUUGCUCUCAUCGGAGAUUGUUGUUACCCUUUGACCACCGAUAUAGAUGAAGGUUAAUGUAAUAAUCAGAAAACCACCCACAAAAUAAAAGUAAUGCUAUGAUUAUGAAAAUUGUUAAAUUUUUUACUAGAGGAAUUUCACUCGCCAUGAACUUAUAAUAAUCUCAAGAUAAACAUAAAGCAAAUUUUUGUCCAAGAAAUUUGUUAAAAAGAGUGCUUCAUGAGCACGUAUUAAACAACUAUUUAUGGAAAAAUUAUAAUUUUCAUUGCAUCAGCUGUUAUACUGAAAUGCGUAGUUAGUUUAUUGAAAAUUAAUACUUUCUUUGUACACAUGCUUAGCAAUGUUCGAGGGUACUCAUUAAUAAGACUUUAUAUUUAAAUAGAAAGCUCAAGAAAUUCUCUUAGAAUUGCCUUUUACCUUAAGUCUUUUUUGUUGUUGUUUAAUUGUAAAUCACAAUUAAAAAGAGACACUUAAUUAAAAAGAUUACAUUGAUUACACUAUAGUAUUAGUGUAUCAUUACAUCACGUUUGCAGCCAUAUAUGAGGUGUUAUAUUAUAUUUUUCUCUGAACCUAAGUAAGUCCUUAAAUUACAUAGUUUGAGCCCUUAAACAUAAAAUUUGGGAAUAUUCUAUCCUAAGUGGGGUAGAAAAAGUUACAAAGGAACUAACGGGGCUCUUGGAGAAGAAGAUAGACUCCUCGUCGCUUCUUUGAAAGUAGCUACCGUCGGGUAGAAAAGUAUAAUAGCCUCUCGCUUCUAAAAUGAGGUGGUAGAACUCAAAAGAAUCAAGUUAGAUCGAUGCAUAUUUUGCAUGAUAUCUUUUAAUCAAAUUGUCGGCCCCUUGGUUUAAAAGAUAUUAUGUGAACCAACAGUCUAGGCCCCACCACCGGUAUCGAUUUGCCUGUCCUUUGCUUGGGUCACAACAGUGGUCCACGUGUCAACUCCUGAUGCAAAGGGGCGGUGCAAAGGACACGUGGCAAAAUGGGGCUUCAUCCUCGGAGUCCCUUUUUUUUUUCCACUUUUUCCAGUUAUUUAAGUUGAUCCGAGGGAGGGCGCAUCUUUUACUUAUCCAAAGAAAUUUGCACACUAAUGGCAGCUAAAAACCAAUAAAUUAGUGACUAAUUAUCUUCUUCAAGAACCUAUUAACUCGAGGAAUAAGAGUUUUGAAAUUUUUAAAGAUGAUGACCUUUGAAUAUCAUAAAAAAAUAAUAUAUGUAUUGUUUUCGAUCAAAAUCCUAAAUUAGUGCCGUAAUAUGAAUAUAUAGUUAUCAUCCUAAAAAGUCUAUGAUUCUAUUUUACUCUUUUGAAGAAGAGUAUCCCCUUCCAUUAAGAUCUACUAAUCUUAGACAUAAAAGUUUAAUUAUGAGAUUUGAUUUUUAAACAGGAUAGAUUAUAAAUGAUAUUUAAAUGAAUGGGUCAUUUAUCGAAAUAUGAAUUAAAGAGUACAUGUUACUUCAUAAAUUAAAUUUAGAAAUCAGUCUUCACGCUAACAUUAUUAUAAAGAUCUAGAGCAAUUUUCACAUUUUGAUUUGUCCAAUGAAAGAAAAGAAGGAUUGAACAUCUCAUGUUAAAUGGGAUUAUAUUUUUAGUCAAAGACAAGUUUGUCUUAUAGAAGUGGAGUAUUGUCAUAUUUGAUUAGGCAAAAGGAAAUACACAAUGAGUUUCUAUAAUUUGGUCAUUGCAGUCUAAAACUUGUUCAUCCAUUUUAAAGUUUUAAAGCAUGCUCUGUAGAUCUUUGAUAAAAUAGUUUUACUAAAUCAAUCAUUGUGUAACGGCAUUAGCAUGAAGUGGAAUAAUAUCCAACAAAAUGAUGAUGUGACAUGGACUAAUAUUCAUUGUACUUCUUGAUCAAGCAAUUAACGCCCUAAAUCAACCCAUAAUCCUCAAAUCCCUAAAUUAGUCCCUCCUAUUCGAGCCAUAUUUCCCCUAAGAAACCCCACUCCGGUCUUUGCAGCAAAAUUUAAAUCCAAAACACAGAUGAGCUUGAGAUUCUACGGACAAGGAGUGAUUGUGUUAGAUUUACAGAAAAUCAAUCUACGGUAUAACUUUGAUUGUGAUCCCUCAAGAGUAUGCUGUUUUUUCAUAGCCUAUUUGUAUUGUUUGUGUUGGUUUCCUCGCAAGUGAUGCAUCUGUGGUCUCUCAUGAAAAUAAUCCAAAUUGCCUUUUUAUAUAAAGAUAAAGAUAAAUGACAAAUUAGUAUCAAUUUGCAUUUCUAACUAUGAAUAUUUGGUCCAUCGCUCAAUACUUGAUGUGCUAUCACAUGAAAAGUUUAGUUAAUGUUAUUUUUAUAAUCGCUUCUUUUAUUUAAUUCUUUUAUGUAUGACUGUAACUCCCAAUUAAAAAGAGGCACUUAAUCAGAUUGAUGAUGCCACUAGUAUGCGGCACAUGAGAUGUUUAUAUUAGAAUUUUCUCCAACGGUCGGGUCGGGGCCCCACCACCGGUAUCCAUUUGCGUGUCUUUCGCUUAGAUAAUAACACUUGUCCAGUCCAAGUGUCAACUCCCAAUUUAAAGGACGGUGCAAAGGACACGUGGCGAAAAGGGUCGGGUACUUGAAGUCUCUUUUUUUUUUUUUUUCCCACUGUUCCAGUCAUGUUAGUUAAUCCCGGGGCGGGUCCAUGUUACUUUACUUGGUCAAAGAAAUUUUACCCACUAAUGGCAGCUAAAACCAAUAGAUUAGUGACUAAUCGUCUUGUUCAAGAACUUCUUGUCCCUAGAAACGAUGCUUUUGAAGUUUUUAAAGAUGAUGAUCUUCAAAUAUAAGAAAAUAAUAUUUUUAUAACUUUCCACCAAAAAUCAAGAAUUUGAUUUACUGUCAUAUAAAGUUUUGGACUAAUGUUCUAAAGAGCUUAAGGCAAACGAAUAACUCUAUUUUAUUGUUAGAAAAAUUGAUUCUAAAAUAAUAGGACAUACCAUAAUGAUAUAUAAAUGAACAGUAUUAUAUCAAGAUACGAAAUGAAAAAAUACACGUUAUUUCUUUAUAAAUUGAGUUUACAAAUGAGUCUUUUUUAGCUAACAUUUUUCUUAAAGAUUUAGAGUAAUUUUCACUCUUUGAUGUCUCCAAAUUACAUGAAAAUAGAGAGAGGGUUAAAAACAUUUUGUGGUACAGUGAAUCAGACUUUUAGUCAAAGAUAAGUUUGUCCUUUUAGAGAAGACAUGGUGUUAUUACAUCCAAAUAGGUGAAACAGAGUUUCUGAUCAUGGCAAGAGUGCAAGUGCAACUCAUCUCUUACCGCCAACUCCCUCCUUCUGUCCCUUUUUUUGUUUAGUUUUUUUUUCCGAAAUCUUUCUUUUUGUAGUUCUCCACUGUAUUCAUAUAAUAGUCUAAGAAAAGGUGUCUAAGAAUAUUCCACGACUAUAGAUAUACAAAAAAAGACAUAUAUUAAUGUGAUUUUUCGUUUGACAUAUAUUUGUACACAUCACUCAACAAAAGAAAAAAUUACAUAAUUAAGAGAAAUCUUUCUUGUCGACUCCUAAAUCAUGGAAAUGAAAGGGAAAAUAAAACCCAUCCCUUUCAUGCUACCAAUGCCAAUGUAGCAGACUCUAUAAUUGCUCUACACUUAAAAAAAUAAAAAAAAAUCCCUAAUUACACACAACUAGGCUGCAGUCGGGGCAGUUAUGAAGCGGAAAGCUCCGGCCUCCGCCAACGCCGCAAGGAAUCGAUCCCAUUUUGUUUGCUUUGCCGCUUCAUCUCUUGCAAUGAUAUUCUUGUAGUCUAAGGACUCAUCAUCGUAAAUAUCCCGCCACUUCUUCACCAGCAUCUUGAUAUCGUCCCGAUCCAUGUUCUGUUCCUCGCCCGUGUACCGCCAUGGCUUCGACCCGGCCGCACAAUAAUGAACGACCUUCACCUUGUCCAACUCAACAUUCUCGGGGUGACGCCACAACAUCGCGAGUACAAGGUUGUACGCAUUAGGAAUCGGUUUGUAAAUAUCCUUGAAGUACAUGUUCAAGAAAUCUUGUUCAGCAAAUGCAGUCGGAGGUGUGAUCUUGACGGUUUCGAGCAAAUCGUGGUAAGUGUCGAGGUUUGGCUCGUACACGAACAUGCCGGCGUUGAAGUAGAGAGACGGCUUCGGGCCAACGUGGUCGGGCCAUUGGACCUUGUCGGGGCAUUGUUGGCAAUACCCGACUUCGUAUUGAGGGGUGUGACUCCAUGUCUUCUCGCAAAAGCAGUCCAUGACUGCAUAGAAGAAGCCGUUCGGGAGGUCGAAGAGGUGGUCAAUGUUGUCGAAGACUUGGAUGUCUCCAUCCAAAUAGAUCAUCUUGCUAUACUCGACAAACUGCAAUUCAAAAA
RNAcentral lists this long non-coding RNA (79946 nucleotides) under Eucalyptus grandis. RNAcentral's name for it is "long non-coding RNA (EGRA_LNC006702)". The record is from RNAcentral. Lineage: Eukaryota; Viridiplantae; Streptophyta; Magnoliopsida; Myrtales; Myrtaceae.